AACCCAAAACAAAGUCGCCGGACUUGGGAGCCGACGGUUGAGGUAUGUAGUUGUAAUGUUUGUUUCAUAUGGGGGAAAUCUGUAAACAGAGUACAAAUACAAAGAGUUAUAAGUAAAACAAAUAGCUACGAUAAACAGAACAAAAAUGACCAGAGACGGAACUUGGAAGCAAAGUGACGUUCAAAAGCAUGUCCCGUCCAAAGUAUCCGGCCACGGUAAUCGUCACGUCAGCAACCACAGUAGUUUAAGGCUCCGUCGAAAGCAAACAUCCUUUAUAAGUCCAAGUCCCUCUCGACAGCCUCGAGAGCAACGAUAAGUUAACAUCAAGAAACAUUUCAGAUUACAAGUGUAUGAACUAUUUAGGGUUUAUAUCUCGUUUCUUACCUUCAAGAACUUCUGCAGAGACAAAUAUGAUGGGUCAAGAGCAAACUUAUUGUGGCACAUUGUACGGAAAACGAAGCUGAAGCUGAGAAGUAUUCCGACACAAACCAUAAUCUCCGAGACCAACAAAAUUUGCCAGCGAACCAAAACAAGUUUAUGAUUUUAGGUAUCUUGGAAGACAAGAUUAACAAACCAAAAAUGUUGGUAAAACAAGAGGUUUGGUUACUUGUCCUCCCACUUUUAAAAUGAAAAGUUGUUUUUAAAUUGACUCCGGGCCUAGAGAGAUUAUGGGCAUAACGAGAAACUUCCAAUGUUAACCAAAACAAAUCAACAAAAGGGGGAAGUUAAAUGCAGGUCUUCGAAGAUGUUACCGAUAUAGCUUCAAAUGACCAUGUUUACAGGUAGAACCGUGAGACCGAGACUAGCCAAGAAGAUCGCAAUCGAACUUGUUGACCAACCAAAGUAGUAAGUGGUGAUGAUACUAGAUUCAGAGAGAAGAAUCUCCAUUGCAUACCUAACCAUGAAGUAUAUCAACAGUUUUUUUUUUUGAAGAUUGAAGUAUAUCAAUAGUUGAACCUGAAAAUCGAAAAAAAAACAAUCAAUAUAGCACAAUGCAUUUUCAGUUUCUCAGAGGUUUAUUUUUACCUUUACUGAAGGUGUAAGUAACCUAUAGGCAGAAACAAUAUAUGGAUUUGCAGGUGUACGUAAAUCCUCUAGUAGUAAUAUUUAGUUAACAAACACAUGCUUGUGACUUACACAACAAACUUAUAGUUAUAGCCUUAUAGGUUCUUUAUCUUGCCUUGUACGUAUCUCGUAGCAUUUCAAUUGAAAUGAUCUUUACAUUAUGUAGUGAUUGAUUGACCGACAGCGUAUCUUUUAGGGAAUACUACCUCAACGGAAUUUAGUGAUUGCAAUGUGGGACUUGACCACAACCUACCGCAUUCUCGGGCUGAUACUUGAUACAAACCAAAAUCAUUUCGUACGUAAUCGCUUCUUUGUUGGAUCUAUGGCCAUCUAAACCAUUAUUUAUUUGCAUGGCAUGAAAGGUUAAAUUUGAAUGCAAUCACUAACAUGUUCUAAACUUCUAAUACCACUUAAAAAUCCUUUACAAUUUUUUUUUAAUAAUUAUUGGUUAGAUUUAUCCUAAACUUAAUCUCUUUAAUUAUUCUUUUAAGUAUUAAAGCUUGGAUCUCUGAGAAUGACAAAGUGAAAAUAGAUAAGAGGAGUACAAUACCAAAAACACGAUAAGAAAACAAAUAUUCAAACUUCGUUUCUGUUCUUUCUUUUGGUACCUUCUUACUCUAUGAUCAUUUUUCUCUCUUUCUCAUGCUUGUUCUUUCUCUUCUUGCAGCUCUCUCCCUUCUUGGUUGCUGUUGAGAUUUUGCUUACCUCUCUCUCUAAAUAUGUAGUGUAUGACCUAUGUGUUAAUCUGCCAAUAAUUAGAUUAGGAAAUUUAUAGUGUCUAUAAAUCAUUGGACCCAAUACCAUUCACAACUUGCAAGAUAUUCAAUAUUGUUCCAAAACUAAACUAGGCAAAAUUGACUCCGUGAAAUAUAGGAUCGAUAGAUCUGACCUACAAAAUCUCACGAGAACCAUGCUUCAGCGCUUUUGGGGAUUUCUGCCAUGCAUCGACCGAUUUGUAUCUUGCGAUUUGAUCGGUCAUGACUCAUGUUACCAAACACACAAAAUCAACAACGAGAAAUCUCAAUCAAAUUUAAGAUUUUCUAUAGCAGUCUCAUAAAUAAUGGAAAAGCGAUUGACUAAACAACAUUGGAUGCUUCAUGUUAGGCUUAGUCAUAAGAUUUGUUAUUAGGUGCACCUAAUCGUGUUAAUAAAUCAUAUGAUUGAUCAACUUGCAUUUUAUUAUCAUACAAUAUUCAUUUUGACAUUUAUUAGAAAAUUACUGCAAUUACUUGCCAACAAAAUGUUCUUUUUGGGGGAAACAAUAAUUCAGCUAAAAAAAAAAAAAAAAAACAAAAACAAUAAUUCAGCUGAUAAUUUUGACUAUAAAUAAUUUAGAGACAGAAUGCGAGAGGCGUUGACAACACGUACGACGAGUUCAUGCACGAGAAACGUUGACAAAGUCAACAACUACUGUCCACUCGCAGUCUACUGUAUAUGACUACUAACUAAGAUUCAUGUGGGCUCCACAUUAUAUACUUAUGACAUGUGGCAAAAUCAAAUGACCUUUGCUCUGAUGCCUCUUCGGGCUCUCUGAGCUCAAUGUCUUUUUAUCAGUUGCUAAGAUCCACUCUCAGAAUAAUAGCCCCUGAAUUUUAUUUUUUUGAACUUUAUAAUAGCCUGUGAAAUUAAUGUUUAACAACAAUUAUUUUGAAAUAGAAUAUUGAAAUUACGAAGAGAUUAAUGAAUUAUAAACCUCUGAAAUUUGAUAAAAAUAUUAAUUUCUGAAAGAUUCAAUGAAACACGAUUAAUCAUUUAUAAGUUUAGACCAAUUCUUUUUGAUCAAAAAAAAAAUGCUUAGACCAAUUCCUAAUUGUGAACUAAUUCAUUUUUUUUUAACUUAAUACUGCCAAUAAUAUUUUUAAUUUAAAUAUUUAGCUUACAUCUAAUUAGAUUUUAGUUUAAAUAUGGGGAUUAGUAACUCAAUUAUUAGGCAAGUGAAUGUGUUAAGUGUUAAGUGUUAGUUAAUAAGAGAAAUUACAAAUAAAUAAUGUUCAAAAAAAAUUACAAAAAAUUAAUAAUGGAGGUAAACAAAAUUUCCCGAGAAAAGAGUAUAAAACACACGCAAAUGAGGAGCGUGGUACUUAUCAAAAACACUGUUUUACACUCGUGCGACUACUUAACUCUUGACAAUCCCUCUCUCAUACACACUCUCUGCAAAUGAGCAAACUCAGGCGAGAAGAAACACCGACGUUUCAUUCUCCGAGAUAAGUUUCGAGGAUGAGAAAAGCUUCACGGUGGUUUAGGAAUCUAUUCGGACUUAACAAACCCGACCCGGGUUAUCCGGAUCCAUCCAUCGUAACACCUUCUCGCUCUUUUCCAAAACGUCGAUGGAGCUUCGUCAAGUCCAAACGCGAAAAAGGAAACGCACCGCCGAAUCAUCAUCCUUCUCCUCCUCCUCUGCGGAGUUCGACGCCUCCACCGUCGUACCUUCAAUCUUCUCCGUCAGACGGACGGCGGUGGAAACAGAAGCUGGUACGGGAGGAAGAAGGAGACAAGGAGUCCGACGACCAAGAGGUUGCGUUGGCCGCCGCGACUUCCAUUGUUGCUGAAGCCGCCGUCGCUGCCGCCGCUGCGGUCGUCAGGCUAACGAGCACGGCGAAUUUUAGCAGCGGCUUCAACGACGUUGUGGCGCAUGUUAGCAGGUUCGACCGAUACAGAAGCGGUCGCGACAGUCUUGCGGCCAUUAAGAUACAAUCUACAUUUCGUGGUUAUUUGGUAAUUUUCUUUCUUUCUCUUUUAUUAUUUGUUUUGCAAAUAUUUAUUUGGUACUCUUUAUCGAAGUUUAAUUUACAGAUUAUCAAAUAUCAACUUUUGGAGAACGUACAUAAUUUGCUUUUUAAUUUAUUCCAUUUUUACAUAUGAUGAUAUGAUAGACGAAAAUUAACUGGUUAUAGAUUUCUUAAAAAAGUUACGGGGAUGAAUAUUCUUCGUAUAAAUUAAACAUCAACAAUAUGAUCCAUUGGAAGCAGUUGCAAUUUUUUUCUAUUGCUUUGUGACAUGAUUAAGUUCUAAAAUUUUAUAGGUUAUAGACAGUUUAGUAAAAAAAUUUAGAAAAUUCGAAUAAAAUUAUGAGCCUAUGGUUUGCAUAUAUCUCUUAAAAAAAGUUUUGGGACAAUGUUUAACUUGCAUCUAUGCAUCGGUUAUUACCGCAGAAGUAGGCUAUAUUUCAAUUCAUGAUAGGCUAGUUAAUAUAUGUAUAUCAGUCUUUCGAUUCAUGCUUAGUGUGUGUAAGCCAAUUCAGACCCACAUGUUUGCUCAUCGACCUAAAAGUCUCGUUGUUCAUUAAUAUUGUAGAGAGGUUGACAAUUCAUGUAAUGAUGUAAAUGUCUUCCUCAUAUUUGAAAGUUCAAUUUCCUGAAGGGUCAACUUUUUUUUGUCCUUCUUUUGGCGCCAACUUCUAUCAGAAGUAACGCUUAUUUAAAAUUCAAUAUGUUUUGUGGUCCUAUCUAUUAGGCCUACUAUCUAUAAUGAAAGCUUGAGGUCAAGACUCACAGGUCUUUUUUUUUGGAAGAAUUCAAUUUAAAUCAAUGUUUUUAAAUUGUUUGAUUAAUGUUAAUCAAGGCAAAGAGAGCAUUAAGGGCACUCAAGGGAUUGGUCAAGCUUCAAGCUAUAGUUAGAGGCCAUAUCGAACGAAAGAAAAUGUCGGUCCAUCUGCGUAGGAUGCACGCUUUGGUUCGAGCUCAGGCUCGUGUCCGUGCCCGUCGUGUUGUUGUAUCGUCUGAAUCCUCUUCUUCUAAAUCAAACAACACCAAAUCUUCUCACUUUCAAAACCCCGUAAGCCUCUCGUUAAAUCCCUUUAAGAUUUUGUUCUUAUAUAACCCACAACAUAUCUUGUAAUUCAAGGUUCCUUUUUAACAUCUAUAUAGAUUGACAAGGGUCCAACAACGCCGGAAAAACUAGAGUAUUCGAUCUCUUCUCGCAGCUCCAAGCUCGGUCAUUCUCAUCUUUCCAAGGUAUUACAUUUUCAAUUUCUGUUUGAAUUCAUGUUAGUUAGGCUUAUUCAUUUAACAUUUAACUAAAAGAUUGUGGAAUAAAAUUUCAGAGGAACGGUUCAAAGGCAAGGGGCAACAGACCUGACAUUUUCUACUCAUCUCACCUCGUCCUAGACAACUCAGGCUGGUCUGGACCAGUUUACGCCAUGCCAUUUAGCCCAUCCUCGUCACACGAAGAGACCGUAAGCCAGUUUUGCAAUGCAGAGAACAGUACUCAGUUAUACUCAGCUACAUCUAUAAACAAACCCAGUGUUUUCACGACUAGUUCUAUUGCACCGAGUGAAAGCACCAAAAGCUGCUGCUACACAGACCAUCCAAGCUACAUGGCUUGCACAGAGUCCUCUAGGGCUAGGGCACGGUCUGCUAGUGCCCCAAAGUCGCGACCGCAGUUAUAUCAUGAGCAGUCUUUGUCUAAACAGUUUGGUGAUGCUCUGCAAACUAGUUUCAUGAACAAGGCUUAUCCCGGUUCAGGUCGCUUGAACCGGCUCGGGAUGCCAAUUGGUUAUAGGUACUAAGAAUAGUUGUUGAAUCCGUUUUGUACUAUAUGGUUCGGGUUGUGAUAGUAAUCAAAUGAAGUGGAUGACCGGUUAAACCUGGUUUUGUUGUAGUCCAGUGGAUUGAUUUAUGCAUAAAAUGUAUCAAGGUUAAACCUUGGAAUGACAAAUAUUUCUGUAUUCAAGUAGACAAAUUGGUAAAAAAAAAAGAAAAAUGGGUGAUUUAUUCAAAGAUCCAAAUUUGAUCAUACUUCACAGGCCGCAGAGAAUUGACCUCAAAACCAAAUUUCUCAUGUUCUGUACCUAUCCUGAAAACUCAGAAUGUCAAGUUAGCGAAAUGGAACUUCUUCACAAACAAAGUACCUCCAUUUCUCUUUUGGUUUGCAUCCAGAGGCAGUGAGAUCCUCUCUCGUCAGCGGCUCCUCCGACGCAACACCAGCCUCUUCUGUCGGAGGGCUUGCCUGCCGCAACGAACAAUUGACUUCCUCUCUUAACAAAAUGACUUAUAUAGAGGAGCAAUGAUUUAGUAGAUAAGAGUCCUAGAGUAGGAGCUAAAAUAAGCUUCUUUCAUCCUCUUAACACAUAUACCACAUUAUCAGAUAAUCAUCUGUGUAUAUAUAUAUCUUACAAAUCAAAACUCACACGGCAACAACCAAAUCAGAGCUAAACUCGUACUCCAACCAAACAAAUCAACCACUGACCGAUUUAUUAAUCUUGCACAAUGUAGUUUAUGGUAUAUAUGUGUGUGUGAAAUAUGAUACACAUAUUUAGCAAGUAUGUUUGCGACACAUGAAUAUACAGUAAUCUUUAUACAUAAAUGGCGUAAGCUAGUGGUUUGUGUGUAUAUAUAGGCUUCGAAUGUUACAAUCUGCACCGCAUUGAAGUUAAUAGUAACAAGGAUCUUUACAUAUAUAAUAUAUCUAUACAUAUUUAUAACUGUUAGAACCGCACUGCAGUUGAACCGUUUGUCCCACAUCACUUAAUCCACGGUCAUUAUUCAGAAUCUAUAUUUUAAACUAAUCUGUCUCACAAUGAUCUAAAAUAUUUUUGACGCAUAAUACAUGAAUUAGUUUUGUUGUCGCAAACCACAUGAAUCAUGAUACUUAACUACAAAUCCAGGUGGUGCAUUAAAUUAAUCAUAAACUCAAUUAAGAUAAUUUUAUAUCAAUUCUGUAUUCUUUGUACUGUUACAACAACAAAAAUUCUCUAUUUCUUUGUAGUCGUCGGUUUUCUAUUUUUUAUACUGAUACAUUAUAAACUUCACAAUCUUUCCAAUACUCCAUCUGUUUCACUAAGAUAGAUGUUUCACAAAAAAAAUUGUUUCAGAAAGAUAAAUUUUUAUGUUUUCUAUAAAAAAAUUGCAAACUUCAAUAAAAUUAAUUGAUUUUAUUAAGUUACUAUUGGUUAAAAGUUAUUGAAAUUUAAAAAUUACAGAAAAUGAUAUAUUUAUUAUAGUGAUUUAAUGUGUUUUUUUAAUAUGUAUGAAAACACUAAAAAUUCUAUCAUUCUAAAACGGAAGGAGUAUUUAAUUAGAAUGAAAUAAUGAAAAGAAUGUGUCACUAACCACGUGAUUUCAACUAAAAUACUAAAUAAACAAAUAACCAUGGCGAAGGAAAAAGACUUUAGAAGUGUGUCAUAAUCAUAAUGCUAUUGGGUUGAUUGUGCAAGAGAUUUUUGUUUGCUGGAACAAAUUUUGGCGUCAUAUUUUUAUAUUUCCUAAUUCUUAGUAGGUGGAACCAAUUUCACUCUAUAGUCUUCUAUAAACAAAUGAAUGAAAAACAUGUGAAUGGUAGAUGAAUCACCCCAUAAAAUUGUUGUGAACAUUCGGAUUAGAUUCUAUAGUAUCAAAACAAUGACAAAUAUUACAUGUUUGUAGACCGCUAAUGACCAACUAAACAUUUUAAUGUAGACCUCAAAUCAAUGAUGGUUCUAUACACAAAUUAAUGAUGAUUUUAUACAUAUUUAGAGUUUGUAUAUUAGUUAGCAUAAUACAAAACUCAAUAGAGUUUAGUUUUCGUUUCUAACUAAAAUAGGAUAUAUAUAUAUAUAUAUUACUAUUAGAAAGCCAGUAAACCCAAAUUGCAGGGAGAACCACAAUUUUAAGAUUUUAAUAAUAUGAAUAAGUGUUUUUGUUGUUGUAAUACUGCAAGGCAUUUUCAUUUCCACUUUAUUUCAACUCUAAAAUAUAAUUUAGAGUAAAAAUGUUCCAAUAGUACUUUAUUUUUCACUCUAUAAUAGAAUAAAAAAUGAGUUUACUCUAUAUAUAGAGUAAGUUGUUGUUUUUUUGUUUAUCAAUCUAUUUUUCACUUUAAAAUAGAGUACUAUUAAAGUAUAAUUCAACUAUAUUAUAGAGUUAUACUAUUCUAAAAGUAAAAAAUAGAGUUAUUCAUUGGAUGGUCUGGCAUGUUCGACAGAUUGAUUUAAAAUGUUUAGCUGAGACACUAAUCAUGACAUGAGGAGUACGAGGACAAGAGUAGAAUAUAGUCAAACUAGGGUCGGCCCGCCCUACGGACGGGAUGAUAAUUUAAAAAUAAUUUAAAUAGUUAGAAUAAAUAUUUUUUUUGUUUAAUAUUUAUUUUUAUUUUAAAAUGUUUUCUUCUAUAAGAGUAUAAAUCAUUAUUUUAUUGAUUGUUGUUCUUUAUUCAGUUCAUUCUCAUUACAAUUAACUAAACUUUUUCCUUACGAUUAAUAAAACUGUUUAUUUAAAGUUUUAAUCUGUUUUUAUUUUGAUGGUGUAGAAUUUUUGAAUUAAAAUGGCAGUUAUCUUCACUAUUCUUUGAUAAAUAACAUUAUAUUUUUAAUAUUUAUUUUAGUUUGAAAUGUUUAGUUUUAUAAUAUAUAGUAAUCAUUAUUUACUAUUAUAGAAAUGUGCACAUUAGUAUGUGUAUACAUAUAUAUAUAUAUGUUGGAGAAAAAGACAUAGACGAAUUAUUAUAAAAAUAGUUAUUUUUUAUCUGUGGCAUACAUAAAUCCACUAAUAUGUUUUAUCCUAUAAAUUAUUCAGAUUGUGUAAUAAACUUUCUACUAUAUAAAUAACAUUAAAAAUUUUGUAACGCUACUAAUGUACACAAUUAUUUUUUACAUUUGUGAAUAAUUUGAAAUCAUAUAUCUCAAACCAAUCAGCUUCUUUCUAGAAAUAUUUCCUUAGGAACAACAUGUAAAGUUGCUUCGGGUGUUAUUAUCUGCUUAUAUAUAAACACGGUAAAUUUCACUUGUAUAUGAUAAAUUAAACUGAAUGUCAUUAGAAAAUAAGAUAAUUUAUUUUCGCAUCUCAGAAAAGCAUGAUAGAAUCAUAACAUUUUGGUAUGCUCUAAGGGUUUUAUAUAUUUAAAAAUAAAAUUAUUUGAGUUCUUCUCCUUCGUUUAGUGAACAAUGUUUAAAAGACUUAUAAUUUUAGGAAAUCAACAACAAUUUUGCACUUUCUCUUUUCAAAUCAUUGACAAACUAUAUUAUGUAAAUGUUAGGGAAAAACAUCAAACUAUUUUGUAGAGAUUAUGUAUUUUCAUUAUAUUAUCAUCUGCUGACUGAAAACGAUAUUAAAAUUUGUUUGCAUUGAAAAUUAUUAAAUACUAAUGAGAGAAAAUAAUGGAUAAAUGUCUUAGUAGAUUUGAUCUUAGUAAUAAACAAAAUUGAAACAACCAAACAACUCACCGGAUCAACCCAGAAUUUAGAGGGAAAAUUUAUAACUUUCUUUUUUUGGAUUCUUUUACUUAAUUAAAUAAAUGCUAUUUUAAAAUUUUGAAAAUUAACAACAAUUUUACACUUUCUCUUUUCCAAUCAUUGGCAAAAAACAAAAUUUAACUGUUGGAAACAAAAGAUCGAAUUAUUUUGCAGAAACGUUGUCCUAUAGUUUUUAUUUUUAUUUCCUGAAAAGUAAACAAAACAAAUUUACAUAACUUCCACCAAUAAUAUGAUAUUAUUUGAUUUCUUCAGUGGAGAUAAUAUAAUAUAUUUUCUACCGGAAUUUACACUUGAAUUUAUAUUUGUCACCUUCUCAUUAUUUUCAUGCUAAUGAGCAUGUUCCUAUAAAAAUCUAACAUAUAUAAAAUCAUUGCAGUGCAUACACUCGGGACAAUUCCCCAACAAUAUGGUCGUCUACUAACAGCAGGCUCAGUAACUACGGAGGCUUCUAAGCUCCAUCUUUCUUAUCAACUCAUCCGAGAAGUCGAGACUUCAUUUGAACCGCUAAACACAAUCUUCUUUUUUUUUUCUUUUUGAAACUAAGUGUGAAAAACUGAGAAGCUAAGUGUCAUGACACUGCAAGCUCCACAUACUCGCGGCCUGACAGCAGUAGAUAUAAUCAAACAACGAUCUGUGACUCUGAGAUGCUCCAACGCGACGAACUCCUACGAAGUUUAAAAGUUAAAAGGUCACAGGCGAAGAAGACAAAGUAGAGCAGUGGUUUUCUGUGACUCUAAGAAAUAAAUCCUAACGGUCUCAAAUAGAACAAAAGCUUUUCGCUAAACAUUAACCAGAUUAAUUGCAAAAUCACUGUAACUCAGGAAAAAGAGAAGAGGACAAAUCUCGGAAGAGAGACAAUGUUAGAAACAAACAAUUUAACAAUUAACACCAAAGCCUAUCCAAAAUUAAAGAUAUGAUCCACUACAGAACAUCAAAAGAUGAAAGCUUACAACAAUCAAAACCCGUAAGAAAGGUACAUAUAGUUUCAUGCAGUUCUGGAGUGCCUCUGUUUCUUCUUGAUCCAUUUGCAGUGCUUAUCUAAAUAUACAGCAGUGAACUCUAAUCACUAACAUCUAAGCAAAAAUACAAAAUAUAUAGAAACUGAAAAGAAGAUGAUGAGAAUAUACCCAGAUUUGGUUAAUUGUCGUUGCUUUGUUUUUCUUGGUCCUUCCUAUACGAAAUUGACAAAAGUCAUGUACGUAGAGUAGUUAAUUAGAAAGAAGAGAUGGAGGAUACUUAAAUUAGAGCUAGCCAUUUUCCAGAAAAUAAAAGGAUAUAUAUGUUUGAAUAGGUUGGUAGGAUGAUUUCGAGAAGAGGAAUGGUAACCUUUUUAUACUGAGAUUUCCACGAGAGAAGCAGAAAUAAAUGUAGAUCGUGUAUGAUUGAAUCAAGGAGGCCUUUAAGAAGACGAAGGUGAAACUGAUUAAAAUCAGGGUCUGAGGAAGAAGAUGAAUCGAAACCCUAGACUUAGAGCCUACAUCCCGACGGCGGAGAAGAAUAACGGUUCAACCAUUGAAAUCAAAAACGACACGUUUAGAGACAGGACUAAACUAUUUUGGAGAUGGUUUUUUUAAAGCUUCAUCUAAAACCCGUUUGCAAUCUAAAGCCCAAACAAAAUAUAAAUCAGAAUAAAUAAAACGCUGCAUUUUGUAAAGCGGGACAGGUGUCGUCACGAUGUCGACCGAAUAGAUGACGUGUCCGUCUACGUGGACCAUCUGGGAGAGAUCUAAAGCUUCUUUUAUAUAUAUAGAUAGAUAGAUAGAUGUAUAUUUGGGUCAUAUAUUAGCCACUGAGGAAGGUCUUCUUCAGUUGAGGAAUGAAACAAAACAACGAAACCCUGACUUGAAGAUAAAUAAUGACUUCAAGCGUACAUCCCGCAUCGGAAGCGUAACUAUAAGACACUCAUAUUUAGCGUAGUAUAAAACAAGAAGAUGGUCGAUUUUGAAAGAUACUUACCUGUACGGGGCCGUCUUGAUCAUGAAGAAGAGUUGCCUAAGCUAGUGACUUCCAUUGCACAUAAUGGAAGGGUGCUUAGCUUAAGGUCUCCCCAAGUGGGAGAGCCUGCGUCAUUAUUUGUGGCAUUGGAAGCCUGCGUUUGCACGCGGCCUCUCCCAAGUCUCCAGUUCAAUGUUUGGUUGGUUUAAGAGUCUUUGAUUGAGUUGAAAUUAAUACAGUUAACCGUAGCUAGACUAUGACAUACUUCGUUACGGAUAAGGUUGUUGGAUCCGUGCCAAAAGUCGGAUUCACAGAUAAAAUUAGCACUUUUUACAUGUUUGAACUUCGGUGGUGUUUGCUAUUAGCUCAUCUUUUGAUCCAUCUUGUUAAGUAACCACACAACAUAUUCUUUCAAUCCAAUCUUUCUCGAGAUUUCACGACUUGGGUUGUGUUCCUCAUGGAAUCAUUUUUGUUUUGUUCCUCCAAAUAAUUGCAACAACCUACGGUUGACUCAAGAAAAGUCAUCCCACGAGUCAACGCAACAAACCAUUCAAAAUGAGGGACCAGGUGAACUAGACAGUAAUAUACAAUAUAAUUGGAGGGAUUCCUCCAGGAUUUUUUCAUCCUCAUCAAAGAUUCAUGGCUUAUAAAUCAUAAACGUGACACCAAAGGAAGUAACGUUCACCUAUAUUCUGAAAUGAACCCAAAAACAGUAAAUUUUGGGGCUGACAUGAUUUUUGGUUUAUAAAACGAGCUUGUCUUUAACGAGGAGUUACAGAAGUAAUCGGUGCAUCAUCAAUGGAACAGAGAACAGACUUAUCCAUUGAUGGACCUGUUUGUUCCUGAUUACUCUUAAAGAAAAGUCCAGGUGGUCUAGGCACUGCAAGGGAGAUAGAGCUAGUAGUAAGCAUUUGAACUAUCUCUGCCAUGGUUGGACGAUCUCCAGUGUCUUCUUGGACACAUAAUAAAGCGAUAUGGAUGCAUCUCCUUAUUUCGUUUCUUUGAUAGUUAUUUCCAAAAGACAUAUCCACGAGAUCUAAUGGAGACCCCUUGCUCCAUAGCCUCCAGGUCUAUUAAACAUUGUAAGACUUCAAAUUAAAUUAAAUAUAAUUUAUUUCUUUAGAUUAUAACUAUCUAGACUUACAUAUGUAACCAAGUUGCAAACACUACCAUCCAUCUGAUAGAGGCUGCUGUUCUUCCUUCCGCUUAUAAUCUCAAGAACUAAGACUCCGAAGCUAUAAACAUCUGAUUUCAUUGAGAACUGGCCGUACAUGGCAUACUCGGGAGACAUGUAACCACUGAAAUGGUAUAUAAAAGUUUGAGUUAAUAGAAGGAUGAUGUCAUUAUAUGCACUGAGUAGAUGGAAAGAGCAAAAAUUACUAGGUUCCAACUACUCUUCUCGUAUUGGCUUCGGUUUGGUCCAUUUCAAAUAUUCUAGCCAUUCCAAAAUCUGCAACUUUUGGAUUCAUAUCAGCAUCCAAGAGGAUGUUGCCCGCUUUAAGGUCACGAUGUAUGAUUGUGAGUCGUGAAUCUUGAUGGAGAUAUAGAAUCCCUCUAGCUAUUCCUCCUAUAAUCUUGUACCGUGUAUUCCAAUCCAGCUGGCUCUGCUUACUUGAGUCUGUGCAUAUACAUAGUUAGCAUGUCAAACAGACGACAUAUUUUUGGCUAAGCAUUGUUUUAACUUUACCAAACAGGAAAUAGUCAAGACUUUUGUUAGACACAAACUCGUAGACAAGUAUCUUCUCUUCUCUCUCCAAACAAAACCCAAGAAGCUUGACUAGGUUUCUGUGCUGAAGCUUUUCCACAAGAACGACCUCAUUCUUGAACUCUUUCUCGCCUUGUCCUGAUGUUUUUGAAAGUCUCUUCACGGCAACUUGUAGCCCAUUAGGAAGUGUCCCCUAAAAAGAUAGUGAACUACACUUAAUUAACCACACCUUAUUUAAAUUUCUUCUAUUAGAGAUUCCCAUAUCAGGAACAAUAGUGAUCUUUUGGGUAACGUAUAAGUGAUGCCGUAAUCCUUCACUUUUGAGUUAGAUUUUAGUUGUGAGUUUGACUCAUUACUAAUAUGGUAUUAGAAUAAGGUUUGAAUCAACAAAUGAUCUCUCACCUAAAUAGUGUCUUAUUUAUGUAGCAUGUAUAAAUUUUUAUUUUGUUGUGGUAUUUCCAAGAUGGUGGGUUUGGGAUGUUUUCACAUCUCAAGAAGACAGAGAGUUCCAUAUCAGAACAAAAGUGAUAUUUGGGAAAUAUAUAAGCUAUAUGGCAAUCUUCUUAGUUUUUGAGUGUGAGUUUGAUCCCUUACUAAUAUUACAUCAAAUAAAUCAAGAAGCUCAAUGAAUUAGUUAUACCUUGUAGACUUUUCCAAACCCACCUUGACCAAGUUUGUUACUUAUCAAAAACUUAUCUGUCGCAGCUUCAAUAACCUUAAAAUCAAACUGCAGUGAGCCUGCAGUUGUAAUGUCCUCCCCUUCUGCAAGAAAAAGAAAAAAAAGCUCUAUAAAACUCUAAGCAGUACAUACAAAUAUAUUUUGAAUCCUUACCAUCAUCUGCAGCUGUAGUAUCAUAAGUCUUCUUCACUCUCUUUGUUACACGGUAGCUUAUAACAGCCACAAGAAAAAGAACAAAGACAGAGAAAGGCACACAAAUUGCCAAGAUUAUCACCGUCCAAUCUCUUCCUUUACCUGCCAAAGUAUUACAUCAGACAUGACACAUGGUUUCCCAAAUCUUAAUGUCUCAACCCGAACUAAAUGAAAUAUACAUAGAGAUUUUUUUUUACCAGGCGGCAAAGGAGGACCUGAAACCAGGGGAGGACUAUUUACCGGCGGAGAGAGACUUGUCACAAAGGUUUCAUUGUAGAACGGAUAGAGCUCGUACCGUGAGUUACAACUCGGGACAAGAACUCUUCCUCCAACACUGUUGAAAUAAAAAUCCUUGAUGGACCUUUGCAGACAGGUUACACAAUCUUCACCUGACAGUUCAGGAUUGCACUGAACCGAAGUGUAAAUGGUCCGGGACGAAGUGAAGUUUGUCUUGUUAGCCGCAAACUUCUUCGUUCUGCUAUUAGCUGCUUCCUUUGCAGACUUGUUAAUCAGAGCAACCACUGCAUGGUUGAACCGGUCGGACAGGUCUUGGUCUUCUGUAAUCUUUUGAGGGUUCCAAGUGAUUAUUCUAGUUGUGGUUACAGCAUCACUGAAUAUAUUCCGGUCAGAGUAUCCAAGCAUGCACUCAUCAUACUGAAUCAAGAAUUCUUUCCCUCCUGGACAUCGAGUCGGAGCAUCUUUCGUGGCAAAUAGGACGCAGUCACCGCAAGCUUCAGGCGAGAGGUCUCCUUUGCAGAGAUAGAGUCCGAAUACCAUGUCAUCGUUUUGACCCUUUGUGAGGCUUUGUGAUCCCAUGGAGAAGAAAGCACUGUUGGAAGAAAGAGAGGUCAAAAGGGUUUGGAGAUUGAAAAAGUAAGUUGUGUUUCUUGAUAUUCUGUUAGUACAUAGUUGGCUGACAUAAGUCGGGUCUUGUAAUUGUGCAGAAGCCCUCAGGUAUGUAAUGAAGAAGGCGAGCAGGAAGAGAGAGUUUAAUGAGGUAUAAACAGGCAUUAUCCAACUUCUUAUCAUUUCUUCUGUGUUUUUUUUUCUUUUACUUUUUUCCUUCAUUGGGUUUAUGAGUAAAAUUGAUUAAAACCAGAUCAGCUAGCCAAUCUGAAAGUUAAGACCAUCUCCAACUUCUUGUAAGUCAAAGUCAACUCUAAGAAUAACAUCAACUUUUAUUGUUUAUUUAAUUAUAGAACUGAUAAUGUGAAAGAGAAAAUGAGAGAAUUAAAAUAUCAGUCUUCUUCUUUGACGUCUACUGUAUUUAUUAGUAGAAAGAAAAGCAAACUGGACGUGAAUAUAUAUUAAAAAGGUUGGAGACUAUUCUCCUAGGCGCGGAGACUUUGUAUGACUAGGACGUACCCGUUUACUAGCUUACCAGACAAGUAACAAAUGAACAGCUAAACAUUAAUUAAGCAUCAUAAUUAAAGUAUUAGUGACCAUAUGAAAGAUUGAAAUGAUUGGACGAUGUGAGAGGAAUUUUUUUGAACGCGUAAAAAAACAGCGUCAACGUAUCUGAUCACUGUUUGACAUGAUUCUCCCCAAUGGUUCUAACAAGGGGAUUUUUUUUGUAACUUCUGUCACAAAUGAAAAUUUGGUAUAAAAUUUAACAUUUACACCAAAAAAAAAAAAAAAAAAAAAAAAAGGGGAUUUUUUUUAUAUGCAUGGCUGAUGGUCAAUCUCGAUAAGAACACACUUAUUACAUAUUGGAUAUUUUUUCCCAAAAGGUUACAAUAAUGUCUUACCUGAAUUUGAAAUAUUUUCUGGCUAAUGCUAAGAGUAGUCAAAUUGCAUGUUAUCGGAUUACCAUCAUGUUAUCAGACUACCAUGUACAUUAUAUGAGUCGAAACUCAAGUUUAGACCUUUCACAUAGCUUUGAUUUUGUUUCAAGGAAGAUUCGGACCCUAGAGGAAUGUUUUAACAUGUUCCCAAAUCUCGUCUACCACUUAACUAAGCCUUGUAGGCAUUUUCAUUUUUGUUCCCAAUAUGACUAUGCUAAAGCUAUGUGUUGCUUGCAAAUUUUCCAGAGCGGGUUCUUUAUAUUGAGUAGUUCAAACCGGUAGUGACGCUUAAUUAUUUUCAUAUCUGAUAUAAAACAACUGGCAAGCAUUUUUGGAAACAACCUCAACAAAAACAGACAUGCUGGAUUUUUAUCGAGGACUAACAUCGGUGAUUGUUGCUUCAUCUAACGAACAAGCAAAAGACAUGCUGGUGGGUUCACCCGGUUCCAACCCCUGGGCUAGUGGGUUUGAUCCUGGUCCAUUCCUAAACAGAAAUCCAGGUGGUAGAGGCACAUCCAGAGUAAUUGAGCUGGUUGUGAGCAUUUGAUGAAUCUUAGACAUUGUUGGACGUUCUGCAGAAUUUUCUUGAACACACAACAGCCCAAUAUGAAUGUAUCUAAUGACUUCAUCUCUUUUACUCUCUUCUCUGAUAACGGGAUCUAUGAGUUCAUGCAAUGAUUUGUUCUCCCAAAGUCUCCAUACCUAUAUAAGUUGUGUAAUAUGUUUUCAGAACUAUCAUCACAAUUUUAUAGAAUCAAACAAAGUUUGGGGCUAACGAGUUUAUAGCUCACAUAUGUGACUAAGUUGUUAACUAGACCCUCCAUCUGGUAGAAGCUGCUAUUCUUUUUUCCGCUAAUGAUCUCAAGAAUCAAUACUCCAAAGCUAUAGACAUCUGAUUUUAUGGAGAAUUGACCAUGUGUCACAUAUUCGGGAGGCAUGUAACCACUGCAAACAUAAAGGUGAAUUCUCAGAAAUAUGGUAUUUGAUCGAAAUUCACCAAAUCCAAAAAGUAGAUACUCACAAGGUUCCAACCACUCUUCUUGUAUUGGCUACAUUUUGGUCCAUACAAAAGGUCCUUGCCAUUCCAAAAUCAGCAAUUUUUGGGUUCAUAUCCGCGUCUAAGAGAAUAUUACUUGCUUUUAGGUCACGAUGUAUAAUUUUGAGCCGUGAAUCUUGAUGAAGAUAUAAAAUUCCUCUAGUAAUCCCAUCAAUGAUGUUGCGUCGCAUAGUCCAGUCCAGCUGAAGUAUCUUCUUAGGGUCUAGAUAGUCAUGCAUGAUCACAAAUAUUAGGUAUGUACAAGAAUAAAAAACAAGAAACAAGAGUAUAGUUUUAAGUUUAACUGACCAAACAGGAAAUAAUCAAGGCUUUUGUUAGGAACAAACUCAUAGACGAGUAACUUCUCUUCUCCUUGUAGCGAAAAUCCGAGAAGUCUAACAAGAUUUCUAUGCUGAAGCUUUGCAACAACAACUACCUCGUUCUUGAACUCUACCUCACCUUGUCUUGAUGUUUUAGACAGUCUCUUUACCGCAACUUCAGUUCCAUUCAUGAGCAUACCCUUGUAAAUAAUCCAAAUAAGGCAUCAUCAUUUCAUUGUUUCUCCACGAAAGAAGAAAAUGGGGUGGAAAAAUAGCAUAUAAAUACCUUGUAAACCUCACCAAAUCCACCUUGACCAAGCUUGUUACUAGCAGAGAAGUUGCUGGUCGCAGCUUCUAUUGUCUUUAAAUCAAAUUGAACAGAUUCCGCUAUUUUAAAGACCAACAUUAAGCUCAUCAAAAAAGCUUCUUUAGGUUAAAAUAUCAGUUAAGGAUUUAAAUGGAAACAAAAAACUCACUUGGAAGUUCAAUUUUUUGCUUUCUCUUUCUCUUGAAAAUAGCAACGACUAUGGCUACCAAUAUUAUGAAAAAUAAAAUAACAAUGACUAUAGCACUGAUAAUUCCUCCUGAUAAACUUGUAUCUGCAUAAAGCCACCACUUCACCAAAACCAUAAUUACACAAUAUAUUAAAAAUCAAAUCAAGAAUGUCUCUGAAAUGGUUACCAAAAGGACUUGCCUUUCUUAGGCAUGUUGGUGACGACAAAAGGUGUCUUUGAAGGCGGCGGUGAAGGCAGUGGUGGUGAUGAUGGAGGUGGCAUUCUAAUAUGAUCAAAAACACCAGAAAAUGUGUACAAUUCCCACCGUAAAAAGCAACUUGGCCGCAACACAAUGCCACCUCUCUUCCCAUGGUGCAAUGUCUUGUAGUAGUCAACGCUCUUCUCUAGGCAAAGUUUACAAUCCUCCGAAGAAACAUCUGGAGUGCAUUGCAUCAACACCGAUAUGUUCUUGUAACCCGGCACAGGAGCUAUUUCAUUUUCAUAGUAUUUACUAGUAGGAGUAGAUAAAUUGUUUCUCACCAACGAUGUCAUCGUACGAGACAUUAACUCAUCCCAUACACCAUCAAAUUCCUUCAGGUUUUCUUUUUCUAUGUCCACGGAAUUGUAAAGGACUUUAGAUGGCUCCAAGAUGAGGACCCCGGUGAAAGGUUUGCGAGAGUAGUGAACAAGGCAAAGAAACUCUUCACCUAACCAUGUGAAAGAGUCUGUCUGAUUGGGACAUGACUUUAGUAAACUAUCUGAGGUGUCCUGGAUGCAUUGGGAGCAAGCUUCUGGUCCAGCACCUGGAGAGCACAUCCCCACGGCGUAGACUAUGUCCGGGUCUAGGCCCAUCCAACCGUAGAAGUAGCCGUCGUGAACCGUGACGUUAGAAGCCAGAGUAAAGUUGAUGAGACGGCGGUUCAUGUCAUAUGGACUAUCCGGUUUGAAGUUUCCAGCAGUUUCGUCACAUGUUUGUGCAGAAACAGAUAUAGCACUAAAGAUUAUGAUUAAGGAGCAUAGGAUUGAUACACUGCUCUUCUUUGCCAUUUUUAUUAUCUUUAGAUUAUUCAGUUCAUGUGUGUGUGUCUGUGUUGAAAUGUGUGGAUAUUAUAAAUUUAAGUCUGAAUUGUAUACUUGAACGACUUUGCAUGCUAGCUAAUAAUACUAGUUUGAAUUAUAGUGGGAGACUUGACCCUAAAGUCACCCUUGAUGUUAGAGGGUGUUUCCGUUUUGUUAUAAUCAGUGAUUUAUUUCAAUCAGUGACUUUAUGACGCUAGUUUUUCCGCAGCACGCGGAUCUAUAUACGAAAAACGGUUCUAUCUUAUUCACAUGGACAGCUUUUCGCAGCAGUCAUGAUCAUACCAAGAUAUAGCAUCUUAACUUGCCUUAGACAUUUUUUGCUUCUUUUAGUUGAUUCAGUCAAUGUUUGCGUGCGUGUUCUUAUGGUUCUCAUUAACAACUCAGACGUUUGAGUUUUCUACUUGAAUGGACAUGCACAUUAAUAAGAAACUGAAAACUUUGAAUUUUGUGAUAGACUUGGACCGUCGAGUUCAACUUUAACAUUAGAGUUCUGGACUAACACUUGUGAUCUUCAAUAUUUGAGUGAGGCUACUUUACUAGAUAUUUCUCCAGAUUGCAGGUGACCAUUAUAAACUAUAUAUUCUUCAGAUUCGUCAAGGACUUCGUUAGGAUUUACUAAUGAAAAUCAAACAAGAUCAAAUAACUUAAACCAAGACACGAAAAUCAUGUUAAAAAUAUAUUAAUUCAUGGUUUUGUGGAAGUUGAUAGUAUUUUUAAAAAUAUAUUUGUUAAUAAAUUUAUGUAAAUGGGUGAAACCCCUAAUUUGAUAGGUUACUGUAAUAAACUCUCUUUGUAUAAGAACAGCCCUGUGUGUUUUUCAUUUCCCAAACCAAGCUAUAAGAUAUUGAGAAAGAUGCUUAAUCUUUGUUUUAAAAUGAUAGUGAACUGCCUCUUAUCAUGGUCUAGAAACGUAGUCAUUCUGAAUGGACUAUGGGUAAAAAUUAAGGAAGAACAUAUAUGAGAAAGUGACAUGCGUUUGUGGAAAAAAAACUUAAACCAAACAUAACAUGUUGAGUAUUCAACGAGGAAUAACAUCGGUGAUAGUAGCUUCAUCUACAGAACAAGUAAAAGACUUGCUGUUCCAUUGACCCGGUUCCAGUCCCUGGGCUAGUGGAUUCGAUAUUGGUUCGUUACUGCAAAAAAAUCCAGGUGGCAGAGGGACGGGCAGUGCAAUUGAGCUGGUUGUAAGCAUUUGGUGAAUGGUAGACAUUGUUGGACGAUCUACAGGAUUUUCUUGAACACAUAACAGCCCAAUAUGAAUAUAUCUAAUGACUUCAUCACUUUUACAAUUGUCUCUGAUGCCAGGAUCUACGAGCUCGUACAAUGAUUUACUCUCCCAAAGUCUCCAGACCUGUAUAAAUUAUUGUAAUAUAUUUAUAACUAUGAUCAAUUAGAUUAAGAGAAUUAAAAAAAAAUUGAGAGUUAUUUAGUUGAUAAUUGCUAACAUAUGUGACUAAGUUGUUAAUAAGACCCUCUAUCUGGUAGAAGCUGCUAUUCUUUUUGCCACUAAUGAUCUCAAGAAUCAAUACUCCAAAGCUAUAGACAUCCGAUUUAGUCGAGAACUGCCCAUUUGCCACAUACUCUGGUGGCAUAUAACCACUGCAAAAUACACAAGUUAAUAAGCGACAAAAGGGUUCAUUAACUGAACUUCAUUUGCUCCAAGAAAGUAUAUACUCACAAGGUUCCGACCACUUUUGAUGUAUUGGCUACAGUUUGGUUGAUUCCAAAGAUCCUUGCCAUUCCAAAAUCAGCGAUUUUCGGAUUCAUAUCAGCAUCUAAGAGAAUGUUACUCGCUUUGAGGUCACGGUGUAUGAUCUUGAGCCGUGAAUCUUGAUGAAGAUAUAGAAUCCCUCGAGUAAUUCCCCCAAUGAUGUUGCGUCUAACUGUCCAGUCCAAUUGAGUUCUCUUCUUAGAGUCUGCAUACUUAUACAAAAUAAAAAUUAGCUAGGUUCAAGGAAGAGAACCAAAUGAAAGUGAAUUUAAUAAAAACAGACCAAAGAGGAAAUAGUUGAGGCUUUUGUUAGGAACAAACUCAUAGACGAGUAACUUCUCUUCUCCUUGUAAUGAAAACCCAAGAAGUCUAACAAGAUUCCUGUGCUGAAGUUUUGCAACAACAAUAACCUCGUUCUUGAACUCUACUUCGCCUUGUCCUGAUGUUUUAGAUAAUCUCUUCACCGCAACUUCAGUACCAUUCAUGAGCAUACCCUUUCAAAAUAAUUGCAAAUUAAGCAACAUAUCACUUCACGAAGUCUCAACAAAAGAAGAAAGCUAGGUGGACAAAGAAAGUCUAUAUGUGUAUAUACCUUGUAAACCUCACCAAAUCCUCCUUCACCAAGCUUAUUACGCUCAGAAAAUUUGUUUGUAGCAGCUUCAAUUGUGCUUAAAUCAAACUGGAUCGAUUCGGCUUCAUUUAAGACAAAAAAAGUUUGUGAAAAAGUUCCAAGACAAAAUUAAAUGUUCAAAACAUAAAUAAACUCACUUGGAAGUUCAAUUUCUUGCUUUUUCUUUCUUCUCUUUAAAGUAACAACGCCUAGAGUAAUCAAUAUUAUGGCAACAAGAGCAACAACGACAAUCACCGCAAUAACUCCUCCUGAGAUUCUUGUAUCUGCACAAAAAUCCAAUUCACCAAGAACAUAACUACACACAAAAAAUAAAAAUAAAAAAGUUGCUCUACUCUAAAAAUAGAACUUGCCUUUCUUGGAAACAUGAGAGGGUACUGUGAGAGACGGAUCUUUGGAAACAGGAGAUGGUGUCAUAGGGAGCGGCGUUGAAGGCUGUAAGAAAAUAAGAUCUGAAGCACCAAUGAAAGGAUACAACUCCCACCGGAAAAAGCAACUUGGUCGCGAUAUAACUCCACCUUGCUUCCUACGGCAACACGUCUGAUAGUCAAUAACGUUUGUCCGUAAGCAGACGUCACAAUCUUCAGAAGAGACAUCUGGUGUGCAUUGCAUCAACGCCGAUAUGUUCCUGAAGUCCGGUAAUUGAACUACAUCGUCUUCGUCUGCAUAGAACUUAGACGAACUGUUCCCGGCUGAUGAGGAAGAUGAGAUAUUAGAGAUCAUGCCAAACAUUAAUUUUGUCCACACACUAUCAAAGUAAGUCUGAUUCAGAUUGGUAUCUGCAGUACUGGCGAUCGCUCCGCGUGGCUCCAUGCCGAGUAAUCCGGAGAAGGAGCGGUUGGUGUAUCGAACAAGGCAAAGGGUUUUGUCACCUGACCAUGAGAAAGCGUCUACCUGGUUUAGACAGUUCUGUAGUAAGCCAUCAGAAGCGGUCUCAAUACAUUGAGAGCAAACAUUAGGUUCAGCGCCUGGAGCGCACAUCCCCAUGGCGUAGACUCGGUCCAGACCAAGCCCGAUCGAACUUUGGAAGUAGCCGUCAUGAGCCGUGACGUUUGAAGGGAGGGUGGAAAGGAUGAAACGACGGUUGUUGUCAUAAGUACUGUUGGGUAUGAAUAUUCCAGUAGUGUUUUCACAAACUUGUGCAGAAACAGAAAUGGAACUGAAGCUUAUGAUGAUGAUGAAGAAGAAGAAGAAACAGAGAACUGUCUCAUAGCUCUUUUUCGCCAUAUUUGUCUUUUAGAUAGAGUGUGAAUGGUUGUAUUAGUACUUGAAUGACAUUAAUAGGGGUGGCCGGGUGGGAGCGAAUAAUAAUAUAAUAAUAAUAUAAUUUUUGGUAUUUGUGAUUUGUUUCACUAAUUAAUUUUUCAAGUCAAUUUGUUUUGAAAAAUACGGAUAUCCGUAAAAAUUAUGAAUCUUUACGAUCAUUUUAUCCAAAUUGUUAAAUACAAACAAAUCUAGAAAAAGUUUUUUUUUAAAUAAAAAAUUAUAUAAAAUAAAAUAAAAGUAAUAAGUAGCAAAACUAUAUGUUUCAUAAAUUUUUAAAAUAAACUAAAUUUAUUUAUAAAACACAAAAGUUAAGAAAAAAUUGUUGUUUUAUAAAGAUUUUAUAUUUCUUUUAGUUUAAAAUUUUUAUAAGUAAAUUUGUAAAUAACAUUAAUAUAAUUAUAUGUUAAAUAAUAAUAUAUAAAAAUAUAUAUUUAGUUGUAGAUAAAAAUUUAUUUGUAUAAAAGCGGAGGGGAUAUACAGUUAUUUGUGAUUUACUCUGUUUUUUGCUGAUAUUAAUUUUUAAUAUAUUUUUUGUUCCGAAGAGUUACGAAUAUUCGGAUUUUUUGAAUCUAAACAAACAAUGUAUCGAAGCAAAUUCAAUGGAUAUCCGAAAAAUCUAAAGGACUAGUCUUGGCCUUUUGGAUUUUGACUUAUGGAAUAAUAUGCAUGCCAAUUUGUCAAUCACUAGCAUCAUUUUCAACGGGGACUAAGUCUCGUACUGUGAAUGCAUUUAUUUCUGAUCAGAAACUAACUUCGUCAUAAUUUCCUCGUUUAGUUAGUAAAAGAUAUAUAAGAAGCAUGAUGGUCAUUCGAUUAAAUUUAUUUUAGAAAGUAGACUUGCUGGCAGAGCAUUUAGAAAAUCAUAACACUUAUUAAUAAAAAGAAUUUCAAAAUUUUCCAAAAAAGAAAAUUCAAAUUUGGAAGUGUUCGAACUUUUACGUACGUUAUGUGCUUUUAUGUGGAUUUUUUUAAAUAUAACCUCUAAAAUAUUAAUAUAAUUGAUAUAGAUCCACCAAUAAAUGCUAUCCACUAUUGUAAAAUAUAAUAAUUUAUUAUUUAUAAUAAAUAUGUUUAAGUUUAAUAUAUUUGGAAUCAAAUAAGAGAUUUUGGUAAACCUGAAUAAGGGUAAUAUUUUAGAUUUAAUUUUUAAAACUGCAGGAAUUGAAGGAUGCAAAAAGAAAAACGAAAUUGAAGGAUGCAAGAGAAUGUAUAAUAAUGCUAUUAAUGUAAUCGUAAAUAAAUCCAAUCAUUUGUCGUCUAAUAAAAUUUUUUAACAAGUCAACGAACUUAACAUCACAUCAGGAGAAUAUUUAUUAAGCAAAAUUUAUUUAGAAAUUAAUAAAAGUAUGCAUUUAUGAUUGACAAGAAAUAUGGGUAUUAUUUUAUUUACAAAAUUUUAUUGACAAAGAAAUCCCAAGUUGUUAGAAGAUUAGUGUUAUAGUUUUAGACAAUAAAACACAAAUUCAUUACCAAAAUGAAAAAAAUGUCCAAAAUUGUAGGAAUUAUAACCAAUAUAUUAAGGCUCUAAAUAGUGACCCAAAGAAUGAAUGAGAAUGGUGAAUUUCUUAUCAUUCAUUACAAUUUACACUAUUCACAAGAAAUAUUUGUUCCAUAUGAUUUUAUAUAUAUAUAUAUAUAUGUGUCUAUCAAUUUUUAAAAUAUAAUAAGUUUACUGUAUAUUUUUUUAAUUGAAUAGAUUGUUUCAAACUUUCACAUGUAUUUGUAUCUUCUUCUACAUAUAUCUUUUCAGAUUUUAUUUUAUUAUUAAAAUCGUAACUAUAUAUAUAAAGAUUAGUAAAAUAUUGUUUUAUUGUCAUAUUCAAAAAUAUUGUAACUUUUCACAAAUUUAGAAAGUUUUUUUUUAAAAUAAAUUUUCGCUUCAUAGAUUUAUAUUAUCGAGUAAAUAAUUAAACAUUUAGUUUUUGUUUAAUUUUUAAAAUAAAUUAUAUAGUUUAAAAUUUGUUUUCAUUAGUUUAAAGUAGUAAAGAUUAAUCAUUGUUAGAUAAUAUGAUUUUUGUUAUUUAAUUUUUUUUUUAUAAUUUUAAAAGUUAACAUCGAUAAAUAUUUAAAUAUUUAGCAUAUAGAUGUAUAAUAUUACAACAUUAAAUUAUAUCUAUUUAAUUUAUACUAGAUAUAAAUCUAAUGGAUCAUCUAUUGUUUCAAUUCAAUUAUUGAUAGCCCAAUAAAAAUUUAUGGUCUUCCAAAAUUUAAAUGAUAAAAUUAGAUUCUAAAUGUAACAUGACUUUCUAGUAAUAAGUCUAUUAGGUCAAUUUUUUUAAAAAAAACACACAUAAAUCAAGGUUUUGACUUCUGUUUUAAUAUAUAAGAUUUUAAGAAAUAAUAGACUAUAAUUAUUAUUUAUCAAAUUAGGGAAUGAAUAGAUUUUCCUCUUGUUUUAUUCUUUUUCGUUCCUUUAUUUUCUAUUUUUAAUAUUAUUUUAGAGCCUUAGAUUUAGAUCGGUCUUUAGACGAAAAUAAGUCAACAUCUACGAAUUCAUAUUUCAUACUUCUUCAGCCUAGGACCCGUUUACCAAGGACAAUAAUUUCGUAUGUAGAUAAAAAUCUUCGCUAAGGUUUGUGGGGUUUCAGAAAAGGCACUUCUUAAAUCUAUUGGUCUACUUCUUCGUGUUUAGAAUUUAUCUUUCUCGUUGUUCCACAAUAACAACACAGUUGUUAAAAGCAAUACACAAUUGGUGUGAUGGCCUGGAUACAAGCCCAUCAAGCAUUUGCUCGAGGGCCAAUCAGUAUAAAAACAUUUUUGGGGCCAAUUCUCAUGAAGAUUAGGUAGCAGAGAUGGUUAAAGUUGCUAUUAUUUGGGUUUCUCUUGUUGGGUGCCCUGGGUUCGAGUUAUGGAUAGAGCAUUUCUGGGUCAAUUUUUUUUUCUUGCUUCUAGCUUGCAAAAUGUCAGGCACGGCCCUGGUUGGUUCACGUGGCCAACUACUUUACUUCUCAAAUUAUGUGCUGUUCAGCUAUUUUGUUAAGUCCUUAAAAAAGAAUCUUAAAAUAGAAACUUUUGACUUAGUUUGUAGAGAUCUAUUAUUCUUCCUAUUUGUUCAUUAAAAUAAGUCAACAGGACAGUCACAGUGUUUUUCGUUACCCUCAAAGAUGUGGUUUUGGGGAUCGAAAGGAGCAUCUGGAUUCUCGUCUAGUUCCACCGCAGAAGAUGUCACUCAUGGAGUUGACGGAACUGGCCUCACUGCUAUUGUCACUGGUUCUCUUCUAUCAAAUCUUUCUUUCACAACUUGAGUUUUGUCUAAAUAUGUUUACUUUUCUGUACUUUAAGAUCUAGGGCCCUCUCUAUUCCUCUCUCAGAUUUGACUUUCACCUGUAGGCAAAAAUGAUAUGACUUUGACUGUCCCUCCUACACUUAGGAUAGUUGAGUCAUAAAGUAACAAUCUUUUUUCUAAUGAGCUUUUCUUGAAUUGGAUUCUGUCUUUAGCAUGGUUGGGACCAUUUCACUGAUAGGGGAGAGAACUUGAGAUCUGUAAAAGAACAUGUGCUUAUAAAAUCUUAUAUACACUCUGUCUCUGUUUCAGCUGAUUAUAUAUCAUAAUCCAAAUAAAAUUAAAAUAGCUAGCUUAGUUUGUUACCCUGCAUUGAGCUUUAUGGACUUUGUUUGGUUUCUUAAGUUGUCUUUUGUUUCAUUGUUCAUGUUUUCAGGAGCAUCGAGUGGUAUAGGAGUAGAGACAGCGCGUGUUCUUGCACUGCGUGGUGUGCACGUGGUUAUGGCGGUGAGGAACACUGUCUCCGGUGCUAAAGUUAAGCAAGAUAUCCUCAAUCAAGUCCCUGGUGCUAAACUCGACGUCAUGGAGUUAGAUCUCAGCUCAAUUGAAUCUGUCAGGAGAUUUGCAUCUGACUACAAAUCUACUGGUCUUCCACUAAACAUCUUGAUGUAAGCUCUCGAAACACAGUAGUUCAUGUCUAGUGUUUUGUGACGGUUUUAAUGUUUUGUAAUCUCUCAAAUCUUGUUAGCAACAACGCUGGGGUAAUGGCAUGUCCUUUCAUGCUCUCUAAGGACAAUAUUGAGCUGCAAUUCGCAACUAACCAUCUAGGUGAGCUAAGAGAAACCAAACCAAGAUUAUUAUACCUUUGUCCUAAGUUUUAUAGUCUCAUCAUCAUCAUCAUCAUCAUCAUGUUUCAGGCCAUUUUCUGUUGACCAAGCUUCUGCUAGAUACAAUGAAGAACACAUCACGUGAAAGCAAACGAGAAGGAAGGAUUGUUAAUCUAUCAUCAGAAGCUCAUCGGUUCUCUUAUCCUGAAGGAGUCCGGUUUGAUAAGAUCAACGACGUAUCAAGGUACUUCUUCGAUAUCAUGUUCUUUAUUCUUGAAAAAAACGUGACAUUGUUCGUUGCUUUUGUUUCUACUGCAGUUACAGUAGCAUUUCAGCUUAUGGUCAGUCUAAACUCUGCAACGUAUUACACGCCAACGAGCUUGCAAGGCAACUGAAGGUAAGUACAACAAGAAAAUGGAUCUAUCAAAUCAAGAACCUAUGUUGAUUCAGUUCUGGUAUGAUCAUAAAACAGGAAGAUGGAGUCAAUAUAACAGUAAAUUCACUUCAUCCAGGAGCCAUUAUGACAAGUCUUUGGCGCCACUUCAAUAGCUAUUUAGCUGGUAACUUCUCUUCUGUUACGCACAUGUUGUAAACAAAUGUGUGUAUAUACAUACUUUGGAUUUGCUUAUGAUCCUCUCUGUCACUGGCUUGAUGUACGUAGGAGCUGUUAGUGCACUGGCUAGCUAUUUUAUAAAGACUGUUCCGCAGGUAUGCUUUUAGUUUCUAAACCUCACACUGAUAAUAACCAAUCAGUAACAACUAUUCUAGGAGAGAACUGGUGCUGGUUAAAGAUAUAGACCGUUCUUCCUUUGGUUUGUUGGUUAUCUUGUUUAAUACUGGACUUUGUAGGGGGCGGCAACAACUUGCUACUUGGCAUUGAGUCCUCAGGUUGCAGGAGUUACAGGAGAAUACUUCAGAAAUUGCAAAAUUACUAAACCAUCAUCAUUUGGACAAGAUUCAGAAUUGGCCAAGAAGGUUUGGGACUUCAGCACUAAGCUAACAGAUUCACAUUCAGGAGAAAGUCAUUCUUGAAAGUAAAUUGUUUCAGAUGAAUCUUUACUUUGAUGGUUUUCAUGUGUGAUUUCUAUUUCAGUAUUUUGACAAAAGGAAAUAAAAUAACAUAACAAACCUUAAUCAUUUCAACUCUGCAAAAUGUGGUUUAGUUCUGGUUCUGACCGGUUUAGUUAUUGGCUUUUACCAAAGGAUAGAACAAUCACUUAAUAGAAGAUGCAAAAUGAAAAUAUAGUCACCUUUUAUAACAUUGCAAAAGAUCAAAAUUCAAGGCUUGAAGAGAAUCUCGACUGUUUCAAAGAAGACUGGUUACAACAAAUGAUGCUUGCAAUUUCAAUCUGGUGCUCUAAAAAUGGGUUGAAAACAAAAUUAGUAGUGAGUGAAACCAGAUCAAUUUUUUUUAACUAUUAUUUACUAGAUGCAUUACUACAAAACUCUUUUGAUCACAAACACACAAAACUUAAAAAAAAAAAAACAAGUGAUCGACUUAAAACAACACCAAACAUGCAUUAAGAUCUCACAAGAUUAUGCCUACUAAAGACUCGGUUGAUAUCUAAAUUUUAGAGAUUAUGGUUAAGAAAACUUUGGCAUGCAGACAUCUCAUAUAAUACAUAAUUACAUAAAUAUAUUCCAAGAUGUAACUAGCCGUCUUCAUCGCCGCUAAACCAUGAUUGAAGAAGCGAAUACACGAGCAAUGGACCGACAAAUGGUGUAAACGGUGGUGGUUUACUGAACGCAACCACUGGGUCUACUGUUUCCUCAGUCUUCUUCAUUGUCUCUCUUUCGCUAUUGUUCACGUUCUCAAGUUUCUUGGGUAUAAUGGUUCUCACUACUUUACCUGCUUCUCAGAAAGAAAAAAAAAAAGAAAUCACUCUGUUUUAUUUUCUUCCACGUGACAAACUGAAACUGUGAAGAAUUAAGGUACACGAGUUACCGUGUGAUCUUGAAACCGAAAAUAUUGGUUUGAGCUUGUCUAUAGGAGCAGGAAAAGGCCGCAUAAUAUUUGAUCUCUCUCUUUCUGAAACAUAUGAGAAGAGAAAGUCUAAUACCUUGAAGAAAAUACAAAAGAGAAGACCAAAUGAAAAAAAAAAAGAAACAAACAUCACAGAGAUUAAUGCGCAAGAUUAAGAUGCUGAUUAUUACCGGUUUCAACAACUGAGCAAUAUAAAUUGAAAGUCACUAUUCCUCCGGUUGUAAGAGCUUUUUCUUCAGCGAUCGAAUACUUGUUUUGAGUUUGGGGAAUGUCAGUUAGUUGUAACUAGUAGAGGAAGGAAGGUUUGAGAAGGUCCGGGACUUGGGGAAAAAGUAUACACAAAUUUAUAGAAAAUAACAACAUAUAGUUUUGAUCAAAAAAAAAAAACAAAAAAAAACAACAUAUAGUUUUCAUUAUUGCAAAUUUACCCCAUAAUUUCAAACAGAUCCUAACAUCAAUCCACGUGGCUUCCGUGCGGUGUUCCACUACCGUUGCUGGAACGAACAAUUUGGAAAUUACAUCAAACUUAAAAACGUUCCAAACCUGUUUGAAAUUAAUUUGUCGAUAAUAUUUCUAAAUGAUAAAAAGGCAAGAAAGAAGAAUCUAGCAUGUUAAUUUUAUAUGAUUUGAAUUGUGUAAACAAGACUGAAAUAAAUUUAUACAAUUAAUAUUCAAACUAACUUAUCAAUAAUUGUGAUCUAAUAGUUUAAAAUCUGUUUUACUGCUUCUAAUUCAGUAUAUUGUAAACAAUUUCAAUUUACAUGAAAAUAAAAUUCAGUUUUCUACGUGUCUGAGCUUCAAAUUAUUAUAUUCCUUUGUUUCAAAAAUAAAAAUGUCCAAUUCAGUUUACAUUGGACAUGUGCAAAAGAAGAAGCUCCACUUUCCCAAUUACUAAAGAGGAAGCAAUAGGAACAAUAUAUGAGAAAAAGCAUACUGAAAUGCAUAUUCAUAUAUGAGAAAAACCAUACUAAAGAUGCAUAUAUAUAUAUAUAUAUAUAUAUAUAUAUAUAUAUAUAUGUCCAUGACUAGAAACCAUUUAUUCGCCAAGUUGAACAAGUCAACUGCAAAUUCAAAACACACGUUUUCGUACAUACAUAUAAAUAAGAAGUGUAGAGGUCUAGAUAGGGAUCAGUAGAUUCAGUACACAUAAAAUACUCACUAGAUCACAAUACAAACCCUAGUUAUAUGACUUCAUUUUCAUUCCUUUACUCCGAACAAGUAUCCAAGAGACGAACCUCCACCAGGAACCGACUUAACCUUCGUCGUUGGACGAUCCUGAAAUUAUAAUAUUCUCUCAACCCACAAUUUUUCAUAUUUGAAAAAGGUACAGAAUUUGAUUAAUUCAGAAUAUGAAGAAAAAUAAAGACUUACUGUGACGAAGUUGCCAGAGUUUUGGCCCUGAGCUCUGUAGUAGUUGUUGUUGUUAGAGAUCUUAGGCUUUUGGUCAGAUUUGUCGUCGUCGGUGGGAUCUAUGCCGUAUGGUGGUGUAGGCUUUGGGGCAGCCGAUGGGAGAUUCUUUGGAGUCUCAUUGUCUGAUCCAAAAAGAUAGCCUAGUGAGCUUUGUCCGCCUCCAGAGCUCCCACCUCGGCUCAUUAUUGAUUGAGAGGCUUAAUUAGUGAUUUAUAUACCUGUUUAUCAAACCCUAUAGUUACUAGACUUGUUUAGCUUGAUCAGGAAAAUGCGAUAUGUUAAACUAUUGAUAGAAGAGAUAGAGAGAAAAGCUUAAAUAGAGAUAGCAGGUGGAGAUUUUCUAAGAUAUGAUGAGACUAAUACUUUCAUAGAUAAUUAAGUAAACAUUUAAAAUGAUGAGUUUAGUAACCUUAACUAAACGUUUAUGAAUUCGUCUUAAACCUAAAAUUUGUUUGUACCUUUUUGAACUUUUAAUUAUAUAGUAUUGGUAUAUUUUGGAACUAAAGUUUAAUUUUGUGAUAUUCUUGGAUAUUUCAGAUAACUUUUUCUAAUUUUAUAAAUGAAUAACGCAUAAUUCAUCAUCUGAAUAAAAAUAAUUCCAAAUAUUUGAAAUGAAAAAAAUUAAACUACAUACAUAUAAGGUAAUGUUUUGUAUCAUCAUUAAAUUUUAGAGCAUCUCCAAGAACAACCUUAUUUUAAGGUAAGAUAAACCUCAAAUUGAUAAGGAGUUGCGCAACAAAACUACUUCACUUCGAUAUAAGGCUGAUCAUAAGUAUGCAAGAUUGAUGCAGCGUUGGUUUGAAGUCUCAGCUUAAUACAUAGGAGAAUAAGAAACAUACUUUACAGCCUUGUAAAUUUUUUUAGGCUUCUUACUCUCAUGUAAAUGUCUAUUCCUACCUUGAUCAAUACAUUUAACAUUUCAUACAAAAAAAAGAUAAGCCUCAAAUUGAGGUUUGAGGGAGGUGUUCAUCAAUGGUAAAACCUUAAAUCUUUUUUUUUAAAUUGUUUGCAAUAUAGUCCUUAAAAUUGAUCAAAGUUAAUAAAAUCUACAAAACUUUAUGAAUAAUAAAACAUAUAUUUAAAAGUAUUACAAAUAGUAUUAACGUUAUAUUAUAAUAAAUGAGAAUUAUAAAACACACUAAUUAAAUCACAAAUAAAAGUAAUAUAUCAAAUUACUCAAUAUAAGUUUUUGUAAUAUUCUUAUACAAGAUCAAUUAAUGAAUUUUUAAAAUAAUAUUAAAAUUUUAUUAUAUAUAGGUUAGAAGCUUAAAUUUAUCGAAUCUAACAUUUUAUAUGUAAAAUAUUUAUGAAAUAUAAUAGUAUACAGGUUAAAAUAAUAAAUAUACAAGUUAACAUGGUUAUUUGAAAGAUACGUUGACGUUUAGUGAUUCUUUUCUGUGUCAAUAUACUUGACGUUUACGGAGUCCAAUGCAAAUAAUGACAGAAGAUGAUUUUUCUAUCCUUGUAAUAUUAUUGUGACUUUUAGCAUCCUUAUGACUAAAUAACUAAUCUAAAGCAAUUGAAAAGGUUAAAAUAUAAAUUACAUCAGUUUUCUUAAUGUUCGUGAAAGCUGGAAAACGUCAAAUAAAAAAAUACGGAGGGAGUAAUUGUAGAGACUGAAAAAAUAUAAAAUUUUGAAAUGUUCAAAAUCUUAUAAUUUGAGGUUGCUCUUGAAACCUUAUAUUUAAAGUUUUAAUGUUGCUUUUAGAGAUGUUCUUAGAACAAGUUACCACUUUUAGCCCAAACAAAGUUCCAACCUUAGAGCAAUAUUCGAGUGUAAUUUUAUGUCUGAAAAGACAUUAAAUGCAUGAUGAAUUUAAUAAUUUAUGGAGGGUGAAGCAAGCGUAUACGUAAUACUUAAAUCAAUGUGUUUAAUCCUAAUAGUCUCAUAACUAAAAAAUUUUAGCCGUCAAAAGAAAAAGAGAGAGAUUUUUCUUUUUAGUUUCAAGCCGAUGGCCGGAGGUUUCUAUAGCUUCAAUAUUGGCUUGUUUGAUUUACUUUGCUUCUUUUUCUUUGAUUUGUUUUACUUUCUAUCACUUGGUUUGUUUGAUUGUCAAUUUAUUUUAAAUCUGGCAAAGUUUUUUUAUUGUUUUUUUGUAUGUUUCUUCCAAUGGAUUUGGUAAGACAAAAACUUCGGUUCAGUUAAACCGUUUAGAAAAGGUAAUUGACAGAUCUAUUGCGGAUGGUUGCGACGGGUCCUACCGGCUUCAAUCGUUGAUGGUUCUUCAUUUAAGGGUGAUGGAGUUCUUGCUGCAAACUAUGGUUACUUGAAAGUUAGCACGAAAUUCUAUGGAAUGGUAAUCUCUUUGAUUCUAUUAUUUUCAAUAGAGCAAUAUAAAGAGUUGUCUCGUCUCGGUGACACCUACUAGAGUAUUAAAAAGAGAGUGGCAAUCGUUCCCAAUUCAGUUUGAAACGUGGUGGUUUUGGAUUAAUAUAAAGAUUAUCUCCCUUGAGAUUCAACUAUUCCAAAAGUAAAUAUGGAGCUUUUAUAUGAAAAAUCUUUGGUCAUCCACAAAAGAUAGAUUUCUGUUAGAUUACUUUGGAUCCCUACUGGUGUAUCAUUUUUCUAUAUUUAUUUUGCUAGUUCUCAUUGUUUAGAAUUUUUUGCAUAGAAGGCUUAAUAAUAUAAUCGAAAAAAAAAAUCUUUAAAUGUGUUUGAUAGCUCCAUAACACAUUUUUAACAACAACAAAAAUAUUCAGAUUUAUGAGGGAAAAAAUUCCAAAAUGACUUCAUAAUUAAUUUAAAAAAAAGAAGAAAUCAAAACGCUUUGCGAUUUCUAGACUCUAACAUGUUACUCCAUAUGUUUCAUUUUAAUUAUCGUUUUAGAUUUUGACACACAGAUUAAAAAAUAUUUAAUUUUUCAAAUUUUCAAAAUUAAUGUAUCAUUACCAAUACAUCUAAACCAUAUUUCAACUAAUAAAAAAAUAUAUUAGAAUAUAAAACCAAUAAAUUAUGCAUUGAAGUUAUAAACCAAUAUUUAUUUUGAAACAAAAAUUUUAUCCUGCAAUAACAACUAAAUUGAAACAGAAAGAGUAAGGGACUGUUUGUUUCAUCAUCUUUCAUCUCCAUCCAAAUGAUUCAUUUGUAUGAUCUAUCGAGAUGAUCCAUUCAGCUAUCUGUGACUGUUUGUUUGUCCAUCCAGAUAGCUAAUCUAGAUGAAUCAUCUAAAUAGAUCUUAUGUUUGUUUAUUUAUUUUUAUUUUCAUCCAAAAGAGUUUAGUAAAUCAAUUACCUAAAUACCCUUGUGUUGAUUUAAUCUUAUGUUAAAAUUUUUACAAUAAUAACUUCUAAUAAACAAAAAAAAUUGAUAAACAUGUAUUUGAAAAAAAAACUAAAUUAAAAAGAGUAUUAAUAAUAAACCGACUGUAACUUCGGUUUAGGCGGAAAACAAGAUUUUUGGUUAUGACGGGAAAAUGGAAUUUUUUUAUUAUGACGGGAAAACAAAAAAUUUCGAUUUUGGCGGAAAAAUACAAUUUUUGGUUUCGGCGAGAAAACGCAUUUUGUGCUUUUGGCGGGAAAAUACGUUUUUGACGGAAAAACGUAUUUUUGUAGUUUUGGUGGGAAAAUACGGUUUCGGCGGGAAACCACAUUUUGCGGUUUUAGCGGGAAAAUGAGAUUUUUUGGUUUAAGCGGGAGAAAACGUUUUUCGGUUUUGGCGGAAAAAUACAAUUUUCGGUUUUGGCAAGAAAAUACGUUUUGUAAUUUUGGUGAGAAAACGCGUUUUUGCGGUUUUGGCAGAAAAACGAGAUUUUCGGUUUUUGGCAGGAAAACACGUUUUUUGGUUUUGGCGUGAAAACAAGAUUUUUCAGUUUUGGCAGAAAAAAGACAAUUUUCGGUUUUGGCGAUAAAAAACGUUAUACGAUUUUGGCGGGAAAACGUGUUUCUGCGGUUUUGGCGGAAAACAAGUUUUUGUAGUUUUGGCAUGAAAAGGCGAUUUUUUUGGGUUUCCCGAAAAUUUGUUUUGGCGGAAAAAUAUUUUUUUGCGGUUUUCGCGGGAAAAUGCGUUUUGGCGGGAAAACAUGUUUUGCGGUUUUCACGAGAAAACGUGUCUUGCAGUUUUAACGGGAAAUGUAUUUUGUUGAGAAAACACAUUUUUUGGUGUUGGCGGAAAAACACGUUCUGGCGGGAAAUCACCUUUUGUGGUUUUGGCGGGAAAAAAAUAUUUUUUUGUGUUUUAGCAGAAAAAUGUGUUUUGGGGUUUUGGCGUGAAAACACGUUUUUGUGAUUUUGGCAUGAAAACACGGUUUUGCGAUUUUUUGCGGGAAACACGUUUUUGCAAUUUCUGUAGGAAAACAUGUUUUUGCAAUUUUGUCUGGAAUGCGUUUUUAGGGUUUUGGCGUGAAGAAUUCGUUUUUAGGUUUUCGCGUGAAAAUGUGUUUUUUGUGAUUUUGUCAGUUUCGUGUGUGACAAUGAUAUUAUGUUUAGGUUUGUAAUUUGCGAAUUACAUCAGAGGUAUAAUAGACACUAUACUAUAUUGAAUGGUCCAAAUUGGUUCAGUUGAAUGGACUUUAAAAUUAAGCCUAAAUUUUCGAAAGUCAUCUUGAUGAUCAAUCUGGAUGAGUUGCACUUUUAGUGUUUAAACGAACAAAACUCUUAUCUCCAUAUAGAUGGCUCAUCCGGAUGGAAAAACGAGCGGACCCUAAUAGUUUUGUAGUUUAGACAUAUCACUGGUUUCUUAUACACUCGCAAAUUUCAAUCAAAAGAACGGAAAGAACAACAAAAUGUAAAGUCAAGGAAUAGACAAGAUUGAAGAAGAAUUAUGAACUUAACUGAUGGCAUUUUAAAUAGUGUCUGGGCCAGGUGAUGCACUAUCAAUCCACUAUGAAUAUCGGAUGCAAAAUUACAUAGUUUUAAUAUUAUUGUUACAAAAAAAAAAAUCAUUGUUACAUAAAAUAUCAAAUAACUAAUCAUAGUAAAAUACUAAAAUAUCAAUGAAAAGAGUUUAAAUAUCGAUGUUCUGUCUUAUCUACAAAUCGGGGAUGCAAACUAAUUAUAAGAGCAUCGACUGUAAUGUAAAGUUCUCAAUUUAGAAUCUUUCACUUAAACUACGAUAAAUAAAUAUCUCAAAUGAUGAAAUACUCAUUCAAAAAUAUUUCAAAACAAUUUUUUUGAGAUACUUUUGAAUGAAUAUACUUUGAAAUAUUUUUAGAUUAAAUGAGUAUAUAUACUUUGAAAUAUUUUUGGAUGAAUAUUUCAAUCCUCAAGGCACAUGCAUUUCAGAGUCUUAGUUGAGUUGUAAUGUUUACUAGAUUUUGACCCGUGCAACCGCACGGGUGUUUGUUUUCACUUUUCUAUACAUAAAUUAUUGUUUUAGAACAUAAGUAGUAUAUAUUUUAAUGUUAAUCAUAUACUUAAAUAUUUAUAUAACUAUUUCAAAUACAAUAAUUUUAUAAUUUACAUGUUAUAAUUAAUUAAUUGUUUAAGCAAAUUAAUAUAUUCAUGAGAAAAUAUAUUUAAAAAAUAUUUUGUAUUUAAUUUAUGCUAAACUCUGACCCGUAUUUCAAAACUGGAUUUCUUUUUACCAAUAUUUUUAUGCUUAUUCAUUUUAGAUAAUUUUUUAUUUGUAUAUAUAAAAGUGUAAGAUAUAUUAAUUUUUAGACAUGUAUUAUAUAGUUUGUUAAUUUUAAGCCGUUCUAUCAUCAUAUUAUAUUUUAAAUAAAUAGUUUAUAUUUAUGAAAAUAAAAUUUAUAAAUUUAUCAAUUGAAUAUAAUUUUAUCAUAUUUAUUUUAGUAUAAUAAUUUUAUUUUAACAUGAUCAUGACUAUAAAAGUAGAUAAAAUAGGAUAUAAUUUAUUUAUUUUCAUUUCUAAACGAUAUCUUAAAAUACAUUAAGUUAUUGUUUAAAUAUUACACAGAUUUAUUAGAAUUUUUAAAAUAUAAUAUAUAAAUAUAUAUCUUAUCUAUUAAAAUAGAAGUCAUGACUUAGUUCAUGUGUGUUUUUUUUUAUUUGGACCACCCCUUAGAAAGUUGUUCAAAUUAUAUUUUUAUAAAUAUAUGAAUUAUUUUUAAUUAUUUUUUAAAAAAUCAAAUAGAUAUUCCUAUAUUUUCUCUGAAAUUGUAUAUGAAUAAAAUCUUUUCAUAUCUUUUUAUUACAAUAUAAAUAUAUUAUUCAUUUUCAUUAAAAUAAACCUUUUAAAUAUUUAAUUAAUUUCGUAUUUAUUUAGAUAAAUGUAAAUUUCAUUUUUCACCUAAUAUUUUUUAUAAAAUAUUUGUUAAUUUCUUUUUUUUUUUAUUUAAAAUUUAAUGUAUAUUUAAUUUUCAAUAAAAAACUUUUUAAAUAUCUAAUUAAUUUUGUAAUUAUAACUAAAAUCAUGUAGAAUUUUGUAUUAAAUUCGUGAUAUUAAUUUAGUAUAAUACUUUUCAAUUAAAAUUUUGAUCAUUUAACAAUAAUAUAUUUCAAUUCAGAAUUUUCUAUCACAUAAUAUAAAAUAUGCUAUCACUGAAUUUUUUUUUUUUAAAAGUUAUUGUAUGUGUACUAUAAAGUUGUUGUAUUUUAAAAUAUUAUAUCAAACAAUAUAAUUGUAAAUAUUACAAUUAGUCAUGUAAAGCAGAUAAUUAUGUGUGUAUAAAUAAAAAUAAUCACCCGCACGGUUGUGCGGGUCAAGAUCUAGUUAUAUUUAAAAUGAAAAUGUAACUUAUAUAUUAAAACAGAAGUCACAACCUUGAUUCAUGUGUGAUUUUUUUAAAAAUGGACCUAAUGGACCUAUUCAUAGAAAUUCUAACUAUAUUUUAAUUCAGACUAAUAAUAAAUAUAAUUUUUAAAAUAUUUUAAUCAUAGUAUCUUUUGAUAUCUUUUCAUUUUAAAUAUAAAUAUAUUUAUUUUAAAAUUCUAACAAAUCUGUUUAAAAAGAUUUUUACAAGAUCUUCAUUUUCAAAAUUAUAUUUAAAUAUUUUCACUAAUUUUGAAAUUAGUUUAAAAUAUUAUUAUACAUUCAUAUAUUCAGUUAUAUAAAAUGAAAAAUAAAAAAAAUCUACAAUAUUUUAGUUAUUAUAUAAUCAUAAUCAAUCAUACUAAAAUAAAAUUAUUAUAUUGAGCUAAAUAUAAUAAAAUUGUAUUAAAUUUAUAUAUAUUUAUAUAUUUUAUUUUCAUAAUUAUAAAAUAUUUAUGUUCAAAAAUAAAAUCUAAUAUGUUGGUAAGAUGGGUUAACAUUAUCAAACUAUAUAAUACAUGUAUAAAAAUUAACAUGUAUUUCUUUAAAGUUAAUAAUAUAAAAUCUUUGUAACUACUUUAAUCAUAAUAUAUUUUAAUUUUAAAUAUAAUAUAUAUUUAUAUAUUAUAUUUUAAAAAUUAUAAUAAAUCUGUGUAAUAUUUAAACAAUAACUUAAUGUAUUUUAAGUUAUCGUUUAGAAAUGAAAAUAAAUAAAUUAUAUCUUAUUUUAUCUACUUUUAUAGUCAUGAUCAUGUUAAAAUAUAAUUAUUAUACUAAAAUAAAUAUGAUAAAAUUAUAUUCAAUUGAUAAAUUUAUAAAUUUUAUUUUCAUAAAUAUAAACUAUUUAUUUAAAAUAUAUUAUGAUGAUAGAACGUUUUAAAAUUAGCAAACUAUAUAAUACAUGUCUAAAAAUUAACAUAUCUUACACUUUUAUAUAUACAAUAAUAAAUUAUCUAAAAUGAAUAAGCAUAAAAAUAUUGGUAAAAAGAAAUCCAGUUUUGAAAUACGGGUCAGAAUUUAGCAUAAAUUAAAUACAAAAUAUUUUUUUAAAUAUAUUUUCUCAUGAAUAUAUUAAUUUGCUUAAUAACUAAAUGCAAAUACAAUAAGAUAAAUAUAUAAUAAGAAGUGACAAAUACAUAAGGUUUAAACAAUUAAUUAAUUAUAACAUGUAAAUUAUAAAAUUAUUGUAUUUGAAAUAGUUAUAUAAAUAUUUAAGUAUAUGAUUAAUAUUAAAAAUAUAUACCAUUUAUGUUCUAAAACAGUAAUUUACGUAUAGAAAAGUGAAAACAAACACCCGUGCGGUUGCACGGGUCAAAAUCUAGUUAUGAUUAAAGUAGUUACAAAGAUUUUAUAUUAUUAACUUUAAAGAAAUACAUGUUAAUUUUUAUACAUGUAUUAUAUAGUUUGAUAAUGUUAACCCAUCUUACCAACAUAUUAGAUUUUAUUUUUGAACAUAAAUAUUUUAUAAUUACAAAAAUAAAAUAUAUAAAUAUAUAAAUUUAAUAUAAUUUUAUUAAGCUUAAUAUAAUAAUUUUAUUUUAAUAUGAUUGAUUAUGAUUAUAUAAUAACUAAAAUAUUAUAGAUUUUUUUUUAUUUUUCAUUUUAUAUAACUGAAUAUAUUAAUGUAUAGUAAUAUUUUAAACUGAUUUCAAAAUUAGUGAAAAUAUUUAAAUAUAAUUUCAAAAAUGAAGAUCUUGUAAAAAUAUUUUAAAACAGAUUUGUUAGAAUUUUAAAAUAAAUAUAUUUAUAUUUAAAAUGAAAAGAUAUCAAAAGAUACUAUCAUUAAAAUAUUUUAAAAAUUAUAUUUAUUAUUAGUCUGAAUUAAAAUAUAGUAUGAAUUUCUAUGAAUAGGUCCAUUAGGUCCAGUAGAGUUUGCACACAAAAAAAAAGGUCCAUUAGGUCCAUUUUUAAAAAAAAUCACACAUGAAUAAGGUUAUGACUUCUGUUUUAAUAUAUAAGAUGACAAAAAAAAGGCACAUGCAUUUAUUUUAUUUUAAACUUUGAUAGAAGCUGUAAAUUAAAAAUCCUUCCUUAGAGAUGUUUUUAAAUAACAGAAUACUAUUUUUUAGAAACAACAGAAUAAAAACUUGCACUUAGUAUUAGUAAAACUUUAUAAUAGCUGGAUAUCAACUCGGUUAAACCCAUGGUUCUAAAAUUGGUCUAACCGGAGCGUAGACUUCCGCCUAUGCGGCAAAUCGGUCUUAGCCGAACUAUUUUUUUAAGCCUGAUUUAUACGAAUGAAAGUGGUUUAAACCUUUUAAAAUCAGUUUAAACCGUUUCAAAUCGGUUUAAAUUUGUUAAAUUAAGUAAUCAUGGUAGUACAAAUCCAUAAAUUUAUCUAUUUUUUUGUUUUAUAUAUUUAAUUUUGAUAAUUUAUACAAAUAAUUUUAUAAUUAAAUCUAAUAACAAAAAUAUCUUAUAUAAAUGUAAUAUAUAUAUAUAAUAAAUCAAUAAUUUGUUAACGCCUAGACCCAUUUAAGUUCCGUAUAAUCCAUCUAAUCGAUAAUCUUCUACAAAGCGUCCACUUAUCGCUUACCGAUUUCUUGAAUCAAUACUAUUAAAAGGGAAGGAGUAUUAAAAAAUCUACUUAUGAAAGUUGUUUGGACCCUUUUAUUUAAUUCAUUAUUUUUUUGUCUUACCUUAAAUUUAGACUAACAAUAUGUUACCAUAUAUUUCUCUAACAAUAAUUUAUUCAAUUCUUUUAUUUAUUCAAAUCUCACUCCUAAAUCCUAACUAUUCCUAAUACUAUAUUUACCAUUUUGAUUUUUAGUCGUAAAAGCAUUGAAACUAAUAUUUUAUAUUAUCACUUUUAUCAUAUAAUAUAUGAUUUAAAGCAAGAGAAGUUACACGACAUAUAUGUGUACAUUCUAACUUCCUCUUUUCUUUAUAAUAAAGUAAUCAUAUCAUAUAUAAACUUUUCCACUAAAAUCCCAUAUCAUAUACUAAACUUUCAACCGUCUAUAGUUUGAUAGAUAUUAUUCUCAUAUUUAAAAAUUAGUUUUCUGAAUAUUCAUGUUACCUUCAAAAAUGUAGAAAUUCAUUGGUUCUGUUAAAGCUAACCCGACUUCACGAUAUCAAUAUUGAUUAUUCACAAUUUUAAAAAUUAUUGGUUUAGAUAUUAUACUUUUAUAUACUUUUCACUUAAAAAUGAAUCAAAACUAUUAAAAGGGAAGUUAUUGGAGUCAUGUAUAACUAUUUAUUAUUUUUUUGGUGAUACCAUUAAUCAUUCUAACCAUACAAUAUUUUAAAUAUUUUUAACAGAUCCUAAUAUUAUUUUUUAUGAUACAUUUUCUAAGAAAAAUAUUUCAUCAACAAUGUUUUUGUACAAUAAUGUACUUGAAACUCUAAACAAAUACCCAAAAAAUUCAAAAACCUAAAAAUUCAAAAUCUUAUCCGAAAUCUGACAUGAUGAACUGAAAAAUACCCAAACUUUUAUUCAAAUAACCAAAUUUUUUUUAAUUUGAAAAUUUACCUGAAAUCAAAAACUAUAAUCGUAAACCAAAAACCUAGAAAAAUAUCCAUAAUACCGGAAACAUAUUCGAAAUAUUCAAAUAUACCUAAUAAACACAACAUAUUUAUGAUCGGAUCUAGGGUAGGACCCAUACUCAAACAAAAACCUGCGGGUCCAAAAAAAACAAUAGGUUAUUUUCUCUGGACCUGAACUAAACCUAUAUUUUCGGGUCGGUUCGUUUUUAUUUUGAUCCGGAUAUAAUUUUCAUACCUAAAAGAAACUUUUACGUAAAAGUGUAUAUAUAAAAAUUCAAAUAAACUAAUUCAUAGAUUAUAUAACUUUUAAAAAUUAUAUUUUUCGAUAUAAUAAAACUUUGUAUUAUAAUAUAAUCCAAUAAAUCCGCGCUUUCCAAGCGCGGAUCAAAAUCUAGUAUCAGUUAAAACUGACACUUUUAUGAGUUUAUUCAUGAUAAAAUUGGUCAUCUUUUAAAUCAACAGAACCAUGUGGGUUGGGUCGAUUUUUUUUAAUUAAUUUUUUUUGUUUUCCAUCUCAUUCUUUUAUCAUUUAGUGAAAGGGUGGAUUAAAAAUAUCAAGGAUCUUAAAAUAGUGGGGUUAAAUCGAAGAGUAUGAUUGCAACUUACAAGAUAUGAUAUUGCCUUCUCUAAAUGGGAAAAUAAUAACCAAAGAAAAAUUACUAAAUAUAUAUGUACUAAACCAUCAUUUCCUAAUAGGACCUUCAUUGUUUAUAUUGAUGAUUGUGUUUGGAAUUAUUUUAAGUUUGUGUUUAUAAAUAACCAAAGUUUUAUUUGUAAUUGAUGGUUUUAUAUAACCUACAUACAUGUGAUGAAUACAAAUAAAAUUUUAAAAUAACGAAACGAAAACUAAAAGCCUAUUAUGAAUACAAGUAAAAUUUUAAAAUAACGAACAGAAAACUAAAAACCUAUUAUGAAGAAUGGUAAAUAAAAAAAAUAAAUAUAUUGGGCAAACUGAACUAUAUUUCAGAUAGUUUUUAGCCGCUUUAAACAUAUUCUUGUUCAAAUAUCCAUUUCAAACAGCUAUUUCAUACGCAUAUUCCUUGUUUGAUAAUUGAAAGCGUUUUGCACCCAACUACUUUCAAGUUUCAACCCGUCUUUAAAUAUGCUUUCAAUCAAGGCAUAUUUAAAAUAACCGAAAAUUUUAUAUUUGAAUAUCCCCCAACUUUAGACGGCUACACAUUAAUCUAAAAGCAACUAAAAACCGUCCGCAUAAAAUUGUUUGGUAAUAAUUUCCAAAACAUAUAUUAAAAGCAUAUGAUGGAACCGUACAAAUGAAUUUAAGUUUUGUCCACUACGAUUAGUUGAGUUGGAAGGGCGCUAGUAGGACAUCUAUAGCAAUGAGCCACAGCCACUCCACCAUUUGUAUUAUUAAUAUAUAAGUUGAACUUAACACUUAACGUAAUUUCUAGGUAGAUAUCCUUAAUCCACCUAAUUAGUCUUUAUUAAAGCCACUUUAACCACCUAAUUGCUCUAUAUUUAAAAUCAAGAGUCAAGCCAUAUAUCAUGUCACAUUUACGGAAAAAUGUCACAUGUUUAGAUUCUUUUAAAUGCAAAUAAGAUAUUUUACAUAAAAAACAUAUAUUUUUAGUUUGAUUUUAAAAUCAUAUAGGAGAUGAAAAGAAUAAAAAAUGACAUCAUGUAAAAUGAUUAAUUACAUAAAUUAAAUGGGAGAAAACAAACUAUUUUUGUUUCUAGCAAAAUAAACCAAAUAAUUACAUAAAUUAAAUGGGAGAAAACAAACUAUUUUUGUUUCUAGCAAAAUAAACCAAAUUAUUUGAUAAUUCCUCCAUUUCGCUUUAACAGGUGUUUUAAGAUUUUUUUAUUUAGUUUAAGUGAUGUUUUCACAAAAAAAAUUUUCAAAAACUACUGGUUUAUCUUGUUUGUAUAAAAAUAACAAUAACUACCGGUUAUUCAACUAAUAAAAAGUUAUACUGCAGAAAACAAAUGGUUAUAACAUCAAAUUACAUUAAUUAUUUACAUAAAAUUUCAAUGUUUUCAAAAUUUUAUGUAAAUAGUUAAUUACAGUAUAAUUUUUGAUUAGUUGAAUUACCGGUAGUUAUUAUUGUUUUAAUACAAACGAGAUUGUUUGUAUUAAAACUAGCAAGUUUUUGGUUGGAAUGUAAAACAAUUAAAAGUCUAUUAUUUUAAAGAGUAUGUUAAAUUUAAAUUAUUCCGUAAAAUUAUUGACACAAAUGGCAAUAAAUACGUUUCCACAGUACAUUUUAAGCUCUCUUAAAUGUAAAAUAAAAAUAUUACUGAAAACGUGUUCCAUCUCUACGUGAUAAAUGAGAGAAAAAAUAGACUAACUAAAAUGCUGACAUGCCAAUUUUUGAUGUGGCAAAUAUAAGCCCGACCAAUGCUUAUUUAAAUUCCAACAGUGCCGAGAGAAGAAUAGAUAAUUAGUGUUUAACAACUCUUUAUAGUUUCUGUUUUACAAGAUCAACAUGACAUUGUAUUUUGAUGUCUUAAAAGAAUAAAAAAUCUGCUAAUGGAUGUGAAGAAAUACUUCCCACCUGAUUGUAGAGAAUCGUUUUGCCUUUAGUUUAUUUUUCAUUUGCAAAGCGGAGAAACAAAGAUGAUUAAAGAAAAACCAAUUAACAGAAGAAAAUCGCAAAGUGAUCGAGCUUCUGAUCAAUUAACCAGAAAUGAUUGAGAAUAGUUACAGAUACAUCAUCAAAUUGCUGUCUAAUAAUAGAAGACUAAUAGAGUAUCUGAAAAUUAACACGUGCUCGACACUUUUUUAUUUACUGUCGUCAAGUACUCGCACUAAUAAAAAGUAGAGGAAGAGAUGACGAAUUGGCAUCAUACUAGAUAUUUUCUCAUAGUGUUUGAUAGAGAAUAAUUGAAUAAGUUUUCAAACGACUAGCUAAUCUGAUGGCGUAUGUCAGUUGGAUAUGGCUUGUAAACGGGCUUAAAACCAAAGGCCUAACAUUAUUAAUUGUUGGAUCGGACAAAGGUAACAAAAUAAAUAGGUUCAUCAGUUCAUGUAAUCCCAACCAAUUUUUGGUGUAACGUUUCCAUUAUAAAGUUUAUGUUAUCUUGUAAAUUGAGAUGUUCGGGCGCGGCCUCUAGUCACCUUGGGCACGGGACAAGCGGGAUCGAAAUAUCCUUUUGAGUAUUGAUGUAAACGAUUAACUCUUCCUUCCAUUGAGCCCGGUUUGUCUAAGACACAACCGGCAUUUACAGAUAUACUAAUACUAAUCGUUUUUUUUCCUUUGAAUUUUGAUGCAAUACUUUUGUGGUUUUCACAUUUUAGAUAUCGAUUUUCUUAUUUUUCAACAUUACGAAUUUUUCUUUUCAAUGCACAUGCAAGCUUUUAAUAUUCUAAAUUUAAUUUUUCACAAAAAAAUAUUCUAAAAUUUUUACCAAAAAACUCAUAGUUUUAAGACUAACAAGCCAAGAGGGGAAAAAUGCUCGAGCCAAGUCUUAUUAGAUUGUACUCCAUCUAUUUCACAAAGAGUGUCAUUUACACAUAUUAAGAAACUGAUUGAAAUGCAUUUAUGUUUUCAUUAAUAUCAUCUAUUUAACCAAUAGCAUUUUAGAUAAGUACAUUUAUUUAUAAGAUUCAUGCAUUUUGCCAAUAAUAUUGAGCUAAAAGUAAGUAUAAAUUGUAUUGAAAUUGUAGAAUGACACUUUUUAUGUAACAAGAAAAAAUGAUAAAGUGAUAUUUAAUAUGAAACUAAGGGAGUAUAGAAAAUUAAUAUUUUGUUUUCCUUAAUAUAUAAUUCAAUAAAAAAAUUGAAAGAAAAUAUUAAUUUUAAUAUAGAAAUAGAAUCUUUCGAAGUAACGGUAGGGGAGUACUUGUUGGGAUUAAGUCUGAUAUCGAAAUUAACAUGUAUAAUAUAAUGUUUUAUUUAUUUCACAAAGUAAUACAAUAUAAACAAUGAUGAAAAUUUCUCUUUACAAAGAAAAUAUGUUUUUACUGACUCUCUUCCAAAUUGUCUAACAUGUCACACUCAAACAUAGAUGCUAGCGAACAUAUUCAAAGAUCAAACUAACCCAAGAACUCUUCAUGAUCCCUAUUUUUAUGCUUUGUGUCUAUUCUAAUUCAACAUCAAAAUGCUUACGGCUUUUUUUUAGGUUGUACCUAAUCCGAGGUACAUCUCUAUCUAUUUAGACUAGUAGAUUUUGUGGCUAGCUUUAGCCAACUUCACAAGGAAGUUCUCAUAUCUUUAUUUAUGGAAUAUUUCCAAUUCUUCUUCAAAGUUUUUUAGAAAUCUUUUCUUGAUUUAUCUAAAUCAGAGUUUGCUUAGACUCCAAAUAACUUUUAAUUUAGCUCUAAAUCAGUUUAAAUUCAUAUCUUUAUAUCAACUACACAGCUUCGUCUCACGUAGCAUUUCUUGUACUACUUCAUGUAAUACUUUAUGAAAGGUAUAUUAACAUCUAGAAAAGUUGAUUUUUUUUUUUUGGAUUUUUAAUAUAAAAACCCCCCCCAAUUAAGUUUAUUUUGGGUUAAAACCCCUAAAUUAAAGAUUUAACAGAAAAUCCCCCAACCUAAAUUAUCUUAAUGAAUCAGACCCUCCGUUAAUUGUACGUUAAAGUUCGUGAAACAACACGAUUUGUUAAUAAAAACAACACAAUGUUUAACUAAAAAUAUCAUGUAGUUUACCAUUAUCACUUUUAAGUGUCGUAAAAGUCCCAUUACUGAGAGAUACGAGGGAUGAACCCUAAUUUUCGAAAGAGAGAGAUUUUGAUUAUCGUUAAUUUAGUUCUUGUGAGAAUCUGAGAGAAGCUGUGUUCGUGAGUUUCAAACAGCAUGACAAUCUUAACUCUUGACAUAAAAUAAGUACAAAAACAACACUUGAAACACAAUCAAAAUGUCAUAGAAACAAGUUAAAAACAACACUUUUACCACUAAAACAAGCUGCAACCACAACUCUAUCUUAACAACUUAAUUUAGUUAGCUUUUAACCAAACUAACUUACUUUUAUUCUUCUGGUUGUGUAACUACACAACCAAGUCUUCUUUCUUGACUUCUUCUUCCUUUCUUGCUCUUCACGCUUCUUCUUCUUCUUCUUCUUCUUCUUCUUCUUCCUCCGUUUCUUGCGCUCCAAGCUUCUUCUUCUACGUGACUCCUUGGUCACUUCUUCUUUUUGUGUGGCAAGCUACCUUGCUUCCACUUCUUCUUCUCUUAGAGGAUUUAAUCAAGGUUAAAUCUCAACACUGAAUGUCAAAACAAUAGCCAAAGCUCCUCUGUGUAUUUCAGGAGCUAAUUCCAUUCAAAUUUCGCCUAAAUAGCACAAUCAAUUGAAAACAAAACUUUAAAGAAAUUAGAAAAAUCACAUAACAAAGUGAAAGCAAAAGAGAACAAAACGAAAGGCAUAAGGUACACGAAUCACCAGGGAGAAGAUGAACAAUUAUAAACUUGAAAAUUUGAAGAACCCUAAUUUUAACUUUGGGACUCGCCAUACAGAUAUAAGGAAGAAGAAAACCAGGUCGUUUUUUGCAUUUAUUAAACUCUGCGUUCCAUUUAGAUGGAGAUUUUCAAAUUUAUAACGGGACAAGUAACGGAGGGUCUGAUUCACUAAGAUAAUUUAGGUUGGGAGAUUUUUUAUUGAAUCUAUAAUUUAGGGGUUUUUACCCAAAAAAAACUUCAUUGGAAGAUUUUUACAUUAAAAAUCCUUUUUUUCAAUUUCUAAAAUUCAGUUUUCACUGCACUAACCUAAGUGCAGUAGUGAUGGCAAGACCUUAUCACGAUUUAGCCAAUCCCACCAUUAAAAAUGUUCUUCGGCCAUUUAAAUGUUUAUCCAAUUAAUUUUGUUUUUGGCGUCAUCAUCCAAUUAACUUCUUGACAAUGAAAGUUUUCGCUAAUCAACCUAACUCUCAACUCAUCGCUGCUUUGCUUUUGGGCCAAAAAACUAGUCGCUCAUCAUAUUAUUGAAAAACACAUGCAGCCAAAAAGACAUGGAACAUUUUCAGUAUCACCGUUAGUUCAUAUAUACAGUGUUAUUAAAAAUGAAGUUCAUUAGCUAUGCUUUUUUUUUUCUUUUUAUCCGUUAAAUUAAUUUAAAAAUCGAUGCGUUUAACUUCAUUUUUCUAUAACAUCGAACGCGUUUAAAUUCUUUUUCAUGGUUGCUAUGGGACGUCGAAAGAAAAUAACAAUAGUUAUAAUAAAUCUCGUUUCUCUCUUUUGAUUGAUGAUUUCUUUGUUUUAUUAAUUUUUAAAAAUAUGAAAAUAAAAAAUGAACGCAUGGAUUAUAAUAAAAUAUUAUAUAUUAAGUCAUGGAAAAUACAAGUCUAUGAUAAUAAUUUUUCUAAUUAAUUUAUAACUACAUCAGAUACAAUUAUAUUAUAUCAAAAAUUUAUAGAACAAAUUUCACUGUAAUUUUUUUUUGCAGGUACAGUGUCACUAAUCAUUAAAUAAUACGAUUUUAUUUGUUUGUAAACUAUGUUAUUUUAUUUCAUUCAUGUAUGUAGAAAUUGUAGUCGACGAUAUGAUAUUGAUUGUGCCCGUUAUUUGUGGAACCAAUAUGGAUUAAUCUUUAAAGUUUAAUAAAUAAUUAAUUUCCUGAAAAAAAUAAAGAUCUCUGACUCUAUACUGCCACGUGAUUUUCUCAUCAUUGCUCUUUCAAUUUUAAGCACUAUCUUUAUUGUUCCCUAACCGUCAUCAACGGUUAAUUUCACCGACCAUAAUUAAAUUAUGCAAAAGACCAAAGAUACCCGUAAUUGCCGCUUCCCCUUCUUUGAUCGCACUAUUUUCUCCUACUCCUGGUUAACAAUCUCGAGGUUCAUUGUUACCUCAGAAUUCUCAAUAUGAUGGACAGUUUAUGCUAAGGUUUAAGAGCGUGCUAAGAAUAACUGCCGACCCCCAGAUCGUAUCGUUGGCUUCAAAAUAGAAUUUGAAGCAACGCGUAAACUCCUCGGUUAUGAGUUCAAGUUCUGUCAAAAAUUAAAUUGUCAUUUGCUUGGUCAGACACAAAUAAAAAUAGUACUCCCUCCGUUUUUUAAUAUAAGUCGUUUUAGAGAAAAUUUUUUGUUCCAAAUUAUAUGCCGUUUUCGGUUUUCUAUGUAAAAUUUAUUAAUAGUUAAUGUUGUAUGACCAAUGGUAAUAUAUCUUCUAUUUUUCUAUUAGUUGAAUUGUGGUUAGGUAAAUAAUUAAUGAUGUUUUUGUUUAGAAAAUAUAAAAAGUUAAUGAUUUUCUUAAUCUGCAUGCAUAGCUGUAAAACGACUUAUAUUAAAAAACGGAAGGAGUAGUAUAGUUUAAGCCUUAGAAGUUAGAGCACCCUCAAUGCGGGAUGCAAAGAGGGUUUUUAGAGGAAAAGGUGGUGUGGGGCCCACCAAAAAGGGAGAGACGGUUGUCUCCUGUCGCUAAAUAAACAACGUAUUUUACACUGUAUCGGGGUUUCAUAGAUACGUGGUGGUCCGCGAUUGAUUCAUUUUUUUUUUAAAGCAGGUAAGAAAAAAAAAGAAAAAAAAAGAUAGGAAACCCAAGUUGGGUAUUUGGGUUGAGGGUGCUCUUAGAAAAUCGAAAUCAACUUAGUUGUCACUUGUCAGUAGUAUCUCUCUUGGAGAAUUAGUUGGAUCUCAACCCAGAGACCUCUUAAUUAUGAAAACUAUAUUUGGAUUUGCACAAUUGUGCGGGUAUUAAUUUUCAUGUUUAUAUAUAUAUUUUACAUAAUUAGAAUAUAUUUUUAAAUAUAACAAUUUGAUAGGUUUCAUGCUGUAAGUUAAUUGAUUAUUUCAAAUCAUCACAUAUAUUUAGUAUUUUUUAUUAUAUAUAUUUUAAAAUUAUUUUUUAUUCAAUUAUUAUGAUCAUGAUCCGUAAUUUAAAGCGCUAAAUUUUUUUAUGAAUAUUUUUUAUGUUUAUUCAUUUAAUAUAAUAACUAUAUAUAUAGUUUAAAAUAAGUUAAUUUUAUACAUGAAUUAUCUAAUUUACUAAUGUUAACCCGUUCUACCAACAUAUUAUAUUAAUUUAUCAGUGUAAAAUAAUUUUAUCAUAUUUAGUUAAAUACAAUGUUUUAUUUAAAAUGAUAGAUAUAACUAUAAAAUAGUAAAAUUUGAUAUAAUUUUUCAUUUUAUAAAAGAUAACUGAGUAUAUAUAUAUAUAUAUUAAUGUAUAAUAACAUUAAUUUCAUUACUAAUUACAAAAUUAGUGAAAAUAUUUAUAUACAAUUUUUGAUAAUUAAGAUAUUGUUGUAAUGUUUUUCAUUAAAUUUGUUAAGAAAAUUUAAUAUAUAUAUAUAUAUAUAUAUAUUAAAUUAAAAUAUAUCAAAUUAUAUUAUGAUUUAAGUAGUUAAAAGAUUAUAUAUUAGCAUUAAAGAAAUACAUUUAAUACAAAUUUUAAAUGAUGAUCUAAAUAAAAAUAUCACACAUGAAUAAAUGUGAGUUUGUUAACCAAUCGGGGUUUUUAGGAGUCGAUGUUAUAUUAAAAAUGAUAUAUUAUUAAUUCAUAUUAUUAUUACUAAAUGAAUGAUAACUGAUUUCUAGUGAGGGUCUAUUUUUUAAAAAAUCACACAUGAAUCAAAGUUGUGACUUCUGUUUUAGUAUAUAAGAUGCCUUACAUUCAUUUAAUGAUAUCACAUAAGACAUGAAAAUUUCAUGGGUAUGGACAGUCCAACACCAAGUAAGAGAUGGUGACCGACAGAAACGUAAAGCUAUUUUUAUAAACAGCGUGACCCUAUGAUAGACUGCAUUUACAUGACAAGUGUUUGGGUUUUGGUUUAGAGCUUUAAAAGUUUGUUUAUUGACCAGAAAAAAAUGUUUAUUUGAGAAUUAUGUUAAACAAUAGUUUAUAUACACCUUUGUUUGCAAAAUAUAUAUAUCAAGAUUUUAACGAAUUAAAAUUUUUUGAAGCACAAGUCAUCCUAUCAAUCAAAUUCUGCCACAUAAUUAAUGUUUUACUUUUCAAAAAAGCAAUUACUAAAAAGAAAAACAAUUGAAAAUAUUAAAAGUUUAAAACAGUUUACGGUCUUCUCUACUUAAAACAAAAAGAAAGCAAACUAAUUAUUUUAACUGCCUCUAACAGGCCACGAUUUCCACUCCCUACUUUAAAAUCAACUUUAGAUGAACAAAUAGAAUCACUUUGAUAACAAAUAUGCGCACAAAAUUAUUUCAAACAGAAACUCUCCCUUUUCUCUCUAUUUCUUCUUGAAGACAAAACCCUAGAUCUAGUUUUCUAGGUGGCCGACGGCCGUGUUUCGCCGUCGGCUCCACCUCCAGUUCCGUGUUCUCUUCUUCUUCUCGCUUCACUCCCUCUCUGCCUCUCUCAGCCGAUAUGCUUGUUGUUCUGUGGCUUGGCCUUUACCGCGGCUCUGGUGGUUCUAGUCCUUGGAAUCGCAGCGAGGUUAGGAGUUUUAGAGGGUUUGAGGUUUCUCGGUUGGGUGUGGGUGCGGAAGCUUAGGUUUGGGGUCCAGAUCUAGGUGUCGACAUGGAGUUUGUCUCUUUUUUACGCCCUUCAUCCUCCUUCUCGGCGAGGGUGCGCUCCUCUGGUGGGUCUGUUCCGGUGGGGAGCUAAGUGGUUACGGUCUGAGGGAGGGUUUCCUUGAUCUCGCCUCUUGUCUCUGUCCUGGUUCUUUUAGAUCUGUCAGUUAGAUAUCACGGUGGUUCGUCUGGUGAAGGCAUCGUUUCCGGCAGGGCAGAGCAGAUCCACUUCGGGUUCUCCGAUGUGGAGGCGUGUGAGACCAAGGAUCUGUGGCUUUGUCAUCCUGGGUCCUUGUUCUGUGGCGGCACGUUCGGUUCUAGCCAGCUUCAGGGGCUUGAUCUAGGGCCUGCUCUUGACUGCUCUUUGUGGAGUGGUGCUGGUUGUGUCCGUCUGUUCAGUUUCAGGUGCGGUGGUGUGGCGCUUCUCGGCGAGUCAUCUUCCUCAAUAAAGACUUGGCAUUGGCUUGCAGGUAUGCUUGACCUCGGGGUUUACUGUCUGAUUGUGUUGGCUGCAGCUUAGGAAGUCUUAUGCAAGCUGUUCUUGGUUGAACCAUAUCUUAAAGAGCGGAUCAUCGGCAAGCUAAUUUCUACCGGGUUCUGUCUCUCGAAUUAAUUGGGUUCCUCCUUUUGUGGCGAGUAGUUUGUUCUGAUUUUGACGAGUCGAUUGAUUAGCUGUUCUCUUUGUUGUCUUGGUUCCUGUAUUGACUAGGUUAGAGGUCUUCUGUUUAGUUGCAUUUCAAUUUUUCUGCUUCUUGUGUCUUCUGUACUUCUGUAAAAAACUUGAAAAUUGGUAAUAAUAUCUUAACAUUCUUACCAAAAAAAAAAAAAACUAUUUCAAACAGUUCUUCAAAAAGUGACUGAUGCUUUCAUCGUCCUUCCUAUAACUUGAUUUUUCUGAUCUUAACAAACGAUUAUGUAUAUUCUUGAGAUUAACCCAUCUCACCUAAGAAUAUUUGGAAUACACCACGACAGUGUAAGAAUAUAUAUAUAUAUAUAUAUAUCUAUUUUUUAACAGGUGUUAUUUAAAUAGCCUAUUUUAAAAAGAAAAUUUAAAUAGAUAAAUAUAUUAAACUAUAGUUUUUAUUUAAAUAUUAUCUUUCUCUUUAAGAAUUGCAGAGUUUGCGUUGUUCUAACAAAUGUGACAUAAUGUUCAAAAAAUAAUAAUACAAAUGUGACAUUACAAGUCUAAACCAAAAUAAAUAUUAAAAAAAACAACAACAAUAUACCAUACAUAAAAACAAUUUCUAAUAGAUCAUUAAAUUUUGGUCCCCGUUUUCAAAACGUAGAUUUUGUUUCCUAUUAAAAUAACAUAUAAAAGAGAAUUGUUUUUUUAUGAAAAUUUUAUAUAUGUUAUUAAAAUUUCAUUCGAAGUGUAGGAUAUAUAUUUUAUUAAAGUAGAAGUACUUUAAAUUUUUGUUUGGUAACAUAAAUAGCAGUUAAAAAAAUAAUGUUGUUUUGAAAUAUGAAUAGCAGUAAGUUAGGAAAAAAAGUAAUGGAUUUAUUCUAUUAUAAAAAUAAGAAGUCCAUUACAUUAUAUUAAAAAGUAAUGGGUUUAUGUUACUUUAUAUACAUAUUCAAAUCAAAAUAAUAAUUUAAAAUUAAUUUAUAUCAAAAAUUCAUUCAAAAAUAUACAUAUAUUCAAAAUUUGAUUUUUACUAACAUAUUUUCCAAUAACCAAUAUAAAAUUUUUUUCAGUUUAUAUAAGAAAAAUACAAUACAAAGCUCAAUUUCAAACACCAACUUAAAUUAUGAUUUUUAUAUUUCACAUUGAAAUUUAAAAAUAUAAUAUAUGUGAUUAUUUAUAUGAUUGUACGUAUAAAAUAUUAUUAAUUAUAAGAAACUUAUUUGAUCGUACGUAUAAAAUACGAUUAAUUAUAUGAUAACACAUAUUUUUGUAACCUAUGAUGAAACAUAUAGAAUAUAUAAUAGUGACAUAAAAACAAAUAGCAUCUUAUUUUUUUUAAAAAUACAUCCGUGCGGGCGUGCAGAUCAAAAUCUAGUAUCAUUUAAACUUCAAGUUUUGAGUUGUUCAAUGUUUUUGACAUGGUAAAAACAUUUCCUUUAUUUAAUUCAUAAAUUCUUCAUCUGAUAACUAUAACACCAGGGUAAGUUGUGAUUCUCUAUGCUUUUUGGAUUUCUGUUUAUGCAUGUAUACAUUAGAUAUUGAUGAUGUCUCCAAAUUAUAUUUUGCUUUGCACAGUCUUAGAAUUAUAUGGAAUAUGUAAACUUGGAGCAAUGAUAGUGACGAAUGAGCAAGUAAUGAGAUCUUCGAAAAUUAUGGAUUCAUGAUUUAAGAUAUUUCUCAGAUUCUCUGCGAUUAAAACAUAUCUGAAACUUAUUUAUUUUAUUUUAUUUUUAAAACAAUGUUGUUAGUAUCUAUCCAAUAUCUUAGUAAAAUAUAUCUGAAACUUUUUUCGUCAAAUAUAUAUAUCUGAAACUUUUUUAUUUUAUUUUAAAAAGCAAAAGAGUCAUGUAUCUUCUCUUUAAUCGUUCUUUUCUCCAUUUUUGUCAAGCAGCUUCUCUUUCCUCUCAUUCACAAGUCUGUAUAUCUUCACUCAUUUCUUUAGAUUAUCUCUAUAAAUUUAGAAAUGAAUUAUUUCAUGAUAUCAAACUUAGAUUUACUGUGUCUAACUAUGCUUGUUGUUUUGUUCUGAAAUUAGUUCUGCUUUUGUGUCAAGUUAUAGAAAUGGAGGCUCUGGUUUUCUUCAUUGUACAACUUAUUUCGGCAUUUGAAUUUGCCGUAAACAUAUGCAAUGAUAUCAGAAAAAACACAAAAAAUACAAGAACUCAUCAAAGGAUGAAUUGGACGGAGAAUUAGUGAAAAAAAAAGAUAAAUAUAAGAAAUCUUUUGUGAUUUAUCUACACGUUAAGUUCCUGGUUGUAUUUCGAUUUUCAAAACUCUAAACGGAAACAACUUAAAAACACAUAUUAAUUCAUGAGGUAACUAAAAACAGAAAUACUACUAAAUAGAAAAAUGAACUAAAGAAUAUUCCAUUGAAAAAAAAACUAUAAGCGUAGAUUUAUCUUUAACAUAAAUAUUAUUAUUUUAUUAUUUUUUGAACUUAUAUUUAAUUUAUCCAAGUAAUUAAUCUGCAGAAAAAAUGUCUUUUCACAUCUAAUAAAAAGUGUAGUUUUCGAAAAAUAAAAAAAAUGAGGUGUAUUUUUCAAAUUCCAAACUAUAAAUAAGGUAUUUUCAAUUAUCCUUUAAGAAAUGUUAAUCGAUGUUAUUUUCUAUAUUCAAUGGAGUUUGAUAUUAUUUUUAAAUUUUUUUUGAUGAAAUAUUAAAUUUAUUGAUCAAUUUGUAAAAGGGUUAUAUGUACAAAAAACUAUUCGUAUAGUGACUCUACUACUAAAGAAACUGCAAGACCCAAUUAUUUAUUAUUUAAGAAAAAAUUAAAACUGAUGCUAGAAUUAGUUCUUAAAUUCAGUGACAUUUUUUUUACAAUUUAAAUUAUUUGUAUUUUUAUAAUCGAUGAUAUUUCCAAUAUUCAUUGAGAUUUGUUACUUUUUACAAUAGAGUUACUAAAUGAGUAGAUGUCUUCCAGCACCAUGUGCAGUGAUAAAAUAUUUAAAUUAAAAAACAUUUUUAUAUAUUUUAUUAUUUUCUUUUAUUUUUUUUAAUUUAAAUUUUGAUUUAAUUAAAAAAAGAAGAUAAAAUAUACAGUUUUGUUCAUUUUAAAUUAUAUAUUAAAAUAAAUAUGUAUGUAUUUAAAACUAUAAUCUGAUAUAGAUUUUUUUCUAUUUCUUUUGGAUAAAAUAUAGGUAUGAAAUCAACUUGCAUAAAAUUAAUAAAAGAUUUGAUGUAAAAAGUUGUAUAAUUAUCAAAAAGUACAAUUAAACAAUAUUUCUAAAACUUUUAGAUAUAUAAAAGAAGCUGAAAACGUUUAUUUGUAAUAAAACUGUAUAAUUAUAUAAAAUAGAAAUAAAUAACAUUUCAAAAUUUGUAAAAUAUGCUUAUAUUUUUAUUAUUAUGUUAUUUAAUAUCAUAUUUGAAUAGAUUUACUUUAUAGAUUAUGUAUAAUUUACUAUUAUGUUCUAAAAUAUUUACCAAAAAUAUAAAUAAACAUUAAAUGGAGUUGUACAUGUAACAUUUAUCCAUAAGCCAUGUCAUGCCAUAUUAUUUAAUGAAAGUGAUUGUAGAAAGGACAUGUGUUAAUCUAUAUACAUCACUUGAGAAAUAAUGUUGAGGGGAUAAAAUACAUUCGGAUUUGUUAGUUCAUAUAUUCAAUGAUAUUUGCUAUCAUUUAUAUAGUUUGUGACACAAAUAAAAACUUUGUGUAUUAAAAGUUUUUUAAACCAUGCUAGGUUUUUUAGUUCCUAUAUUAAAUGAAACUAUGUGGUAAACCACGCCUUGCGCAGAGCUAUGGAUUAAAAAAUAUUAUAACUUUAAAACUAUAUAAAUUAAUUUAUUGGUGUACUUUAAGUAUAUUUAAAAAAUAAAUCCAUAAAAGUAAGAAAAGACUUAUAUAAAUUUAUUAUGAGUUUAAGAUAAAACAAAAUAUAAGCAACUAACUAAAAUUAACAAAAUAUAAAUGAUAAGAUCUGCGCCUUGGUGUAAUUUAAUUAUAUUUGAAGAGAAUAAAUAUGUAAGAGUAAACAAAGACUUAUAUAAAUUUAUUAUGAGUUUAAGAUAAAACAAAACAUAAACAACUAACUAAAAUUAACAAAAUAUAAACUUAAGCUUUUGUUACCAUAUUUUAAAAAUAAUAUCGAUUGGAUAUAUGGUUAGAAAACUAAGUAAACUUAACAAAAUAUAUAAUGCGUAUACGGUCACUUAAAACAUAACUUUGUGAACCCUAAGCUUAGUAUAGUUAGACCCUACACCUUAUAAUCAAAUCCCUAAACCCAUAAAGGUGAUGAUUGUUUUCCUAGUUUUUAGAUUCUAGUUUUUGGUUUUUGGAUUUUGGUUUUUGGAUUUUAGAUUUUAGUUUUUGACUUUUGGUUUUUGAUUUUGCAGUAGAUUUUGAUUUUUUGAAAAACAUGAAUGGUUGUUUUAGAUUUUGGUUUUUAGUUUUUAGUUUUAGUUUUUAUUUUUUAAAUUAAUAAAAUAAAAAUAUUAUGGAUAGUAAAAUAUUUAUUCUGAAAAUAAUAAAAUAUAAAACACUGUCAUUAAAAUACACAUAAAUUAUUUAAAAACUUAUUUAAAAAAUAUAUAAAUACAAAAUAAAACUAUCGUAAAUUCCAUAUAAACAUAUAUAUAUAUAUAUAUUUUUUUAAUUUUAUCUCAAAUGCCUUUUAUAUUUGACCUCAAAUGCUAUUAUACAAGUAAUUGAGCAUUAUAAAAAUAUUAAUAUCAUACAUUUGAUAUUUUUCUAAAAUAAUUUUUGCACAUAUUUCUAUGGUUAUUUUUGUUUAAUUAAUUAAAAUAUUGACUUUUAAAAUAAAAUUUCCUUUUGAAAUAUUUUUGAAAUUCUUUUAGUUUGCAAGUAAGAGAACUUCUUCUAAUCUACAAGUAUGAUCAAAUAUUUUUUGAGUGUUGAGAAGAAAAACUCGAAAGUUGUAUGUAUAAUCACUUACCCAUUUUAUAUUAAUAAAGCACAAAAAAUGUAUUGUGAUGUGAUGGUGAAAAACGGAUGAUAGUGGGAAUGGGGCAAAUAGAAAAGAAAGACCAGUUACAAAAUAAUAAAUAAACAAAGACUAAUUAAAAGAAAAUGAUAAAUAAUAAUUGCAUAAUAAAAAAAAUCUUCGUAGAAAACUGGAAAAAAACUAAAAAAACACAGAUUUUGGUUUUUGGGUAGAAUUAGGUAGUUAUUUGAAAAACUAGUUUCCCUAGUUUUUAGGGAAUCAUUUUUAACAAAAUCUUGAUUGGCAAAUAAAGUAGUUUUUCAGAAACAAAAACCAAAAACCAUUUUAAAAAUUACAAACAAUCAACCUCAUAAUCUAAACCCUAAACCCUAUAAAUAGAUUAACAUCAACAUACAAUCUAAAGUAUAAAAUACAUAAAGCAUUUCACACCAUGAAGUAUAUUAUACGAUAUGAUUAUUUUAUGGCAUAAAAAAGAAGAUAAUACGAAAUGUUAUACAGAUAUGAAGAAUUAUAAUAACAAUCGUUUUAUGUUAUACCGUAUUAAAUGAUAUGAUUGUUUUACUCUUAACAAUAUAGGGUAACUUGUUUUCUAAUAUUAAAACUGUAAUGGUAUACAAUAUAUUACUCCAUCGAUUUCAUUUUAAUUAUUGUUUCACACUUAUAAACAUAGAAUAAAAAAAUAUUUUUUUAUUUACUAAACAAAAACAUCAUUAUCAAUAAACAUAAUCACCUUUCAAUCUAUAGAAACUAGAAGGACAGUAGCCUAUUGGUUAAGGUUUAAAGGCUUCUACAUCCAGGUUUGGGAUUCAAAUCCCAGACUAUGCAAUUUAUUGUAGAUUACAGAAAAUCCAGGUUUCAAGUUCCGCAGAGAGCGGUUUAUUAAACAAUUAUACAGACUACAGAGAAAAGGCUUGCAAGGGAUCUUCAACAUGGUGCAAGUAAAUCUGGCCAGACGUGGAUCUUCAUAGGACGGCUCAGGUGAUGCAGUUAGGCAUAGGUCUUCAUAAGGCAGGUAAUAUUGUCGGUUGUCGAAUUGUCUAUGUAAUCUUUCCUAUAUCAUAAUUGUAAGAUCGUAAUAAAUCAGCGUCAAAAAAAAAAUCAAUAAAAACUAGAAAAUAAAACCAAUAAAUUUUGAUUUGAAAUUAUAAAACGAUAUUUAUUUUGAAAAAUAAAUUUUACUCUACCGCGAUAACUAAAAUGAAACGGAGAGAGUAUAUAUUAUUUUUAUAAAAUUUCAAGAAUCAGGGCUGUUUGUAAUAAUAUCUCAUUUUGAGAAAAGAAUUUGACGUCAAUAAGAGUUAAAGACCAAAGACGAAUAUUCUAUAACUAGCGACCAAAGAAAAGAAACAAAUCUAAAGAGCAUUAAAUUUUCUCUCCGACAAGACAUGCUUUCCAUCAUUUCUCUUUCAUCAAAAUCUUUCUUGUUCCCUUUUCUCUCUCUCUCUUCCAAAAAUCUCUCCUUUAUCCCCGCAAAGAACCAAAAAAAACAAAAAAAAACUCACACUCGACUAAUGUCGCCGGCAACAGAACUUCACGGCUCGUUCCUCAGCCGACUCAGCUUCCGCCGCAGCCAGAUCGUGUCCAUGGACGUCAACCACGAGCAACAGCUCCAAGAACUCGAGUAUUUCCAGAACCACGUCUCCGAGCGUUUCUCCGAGUUCAUCUCUCCAUCGCCGCCGUCUGAUCCAGUUCUCUCGAUCCCCUGGCUACGGAACCUCCUCCACGUUUUCAUCUCCUGCGAAACGGAGUUCAAGGAAGUCCUCCCGACCACUGCUCAGAUCUCGAAAACGCCUUCGCUGGAGAAGGCUUUGUCGGAAAUGCUCGAUCGGAUCUUAAAGUCGCUCGAUAUCUGUAACGCCGUCGUUAACGGCAUCGAAUCCGUUAAAAAAAGCCGGCGUCUUGCGGAGAUAGCCGUAACGGCGCUUAAACAACGGCCGUUAUGUAGCGGAAGCGUUCGCAGAGCCAAACGCGCGUUAGCAAGCCUCCUCGUUAGCUUAAACGCCGAUGUGAAAGAUAGGAACAGCGGUGGGAGUAGUAGACGGAGGACAACGUCGCGGUCGUGGUCGUUUGGACAGCGCAGCAGCCACGUAAGCAAGAAUUGGUCUGCAGCGAAGCAGAUUCAGGCAAUGGUGGCUAAUCUUGUGCCACCACGUGGAGCAGAAGCGAUGCCGGUUUACAUAAUGAGCAGUGUUAUGGUUUUGGUGAUGUGGGUGCUUGUUGCUGCGGUUCCUUGCCAGACAAGCAGCGUUCCCGUGGCGCCGUUGCAGCUUCCUAAGCAUCAGAGCUGGGGUAGCAAUGCUGUGAAUGUUCAGGAGAGGGUUGGUGAAGAGGUGAAAGGGAAGGAGAAGCGUGGGGGUGGGUUGAUGGAGGAGAUGCAGAGGAUGGAGAGUGUUGGGUUGUCUUUGAUGGAGUUCACGGAGAGGUUUAGGUUUCCGGGAGAGGAAGAGGAAGAGGAAGAGGUUGAGGAGAAGGUUGAUGAGAUGGAUGAGAUUUGUCGGAGAAUGGAAGUGGGAUUGGAGGAUUUGCAGAGACAAGUGAGAGCAGUGUUCCAAAGAUUGGUGAGAAUCAGACUAGAGAUUGUUUCUGUGCUUGAUCUAAAUCUGUAAAUCUUAAAUAACAACAUUAAUAUUUUUAUCUCUUUUUUUUCUUUCUAGAUAAGACUAAUCUUUGAAAGAUCUUGCUGUGUAUAAGCUACAAUUCGUAUACAUAUACACCAUGUUUGGUUUCUGGUAUAUGAAAACUGCAAAAUUAUAUUGACCAGAGAUUAAUAGAUUCAUAGUGUCCUGACUUGUGAUUGUUUCCAGAAGCUUUCCUAUGUUUCUUACCGGGGCGCUUUGGUUCUGUUCUGUCUGCUUCCAUUAGUGUCUGAAGCUGGUGUGUAUUGUUGAUGUGUGCUCUUCUGUCAGCUAUUUCUUUCAAUGUAUGCAACUCAAGAUCUUUAAGAAAAUUUACAGAGAGUGAGAUAGAAACCUCUAAAACUGUCUGGAGGAAACUCAUGUGCUUGUCUGGUGUGGAUGAUUGGACCGCACGGGUGCCACACUUCCUUAUCAAAAUCUCAACUAUGAUCGUUACCUAAAUGCACAUCUUUAAUAAGUCAAUCAUCACGUUUGAGGAAGGAGAAGGAAACUAAAGUUAAACACACACUAUCAUUGUCACCUUUGAUUUAAAGUAAAUGUCUUGAAACAGACGACCAGGGGAGAAAAAAAAAACUUUCACAAAACCCAAAACAGCCUGGAGAUGCACGGAAACGCAUGAGAAACUUAAGGAGAAAACCAAGCUUACAUACUUAGAGCAACAGCAGCCUGUGGAGUUACUUUUAUAAUCUCAAUUGAUUUGGUGUGAAGCAAUGAUAAAACAGAGGAAAGAAGCUCUCAGGUGACGAUAAUAAGCAUAUCUCAGUCUCUUUGUAUAUCAAGACAGAUACCGCAGUCAUAUGAGAGAUAACGAGAGUGGACUAAACUGAUACCAGGGAGCUCCUCUCAUGCACUUUCCAUGUUAACCAGUACGCAUCACAAGGCCACAAGCUGCUUUACUAUGUUCUUCUUUUCCCUGUAUAUACAAAGCCAAGAUAAUGCUAAACAAAUGUCAAAACUUGUCUAGUAAUUCUAUUGUUUAAUUCAAACAGUAUGCUUACUUACAUCUCAAAGUGUAAGGAUCAUUUCGUUCAGGAUAAGGAAAGCCUUCUCAUUCUCCUCCUAGGAGCUUGACUGUAGGAAAAAUGUAAUAUAUUAAGAAUAUUAGUCAAUGUUUUCAUAAAGCAACACUGAACUAUACAUCUUUAUAUAAGAAAACAGCAUGGACAUACUAUAGUUCAAGUUUGAUGAAUAGUCUUUCAUUAACAACAAACGCCAUAUACAUAUAUGGCAGAGAGAGAUGGAAUUGUAGCAGUAUACGAUCGGAGAGAACCAAAUAUUUUCUCCAGAUACUCUUGAGCACCAAAUCUUUUAACCUAAACUCACAAACCAAGAUUGCUUUGUCACCACAAUAUGAUAUAUUUUUUUUGGUAAAAAUUGAAGCCUGGCUUGUCCAAAAUGAGUUCAUAGAAACUGCAACUGCAACUAGAGAAAGCUCAACAUCUUAUAAAAGCGUUGACGUCAAAGCUUAGAAUCAUGAAGAAAAAUAUUAGAAGCUUGAUAGUUUUCUUCUUCCUUUAGAACUCUGUUUUCUCUGUUGAUUCUCUGACAUGUCUUCCUCAUUUCUGCUCUAUAGUGUUUCUACAUGUAUCUAUUGGCGAGUGAGAGUAGAUUUGGCGUUUUAUGAACGUGAAAUCAAAUGCUCCGUGUUACUGUUCAUUAUCACUUUUAAUCAUGAGUUUCCCUGUAUUAUUCUCCAUCUUCGAACGCAGUUUCGUCGUUAUCAUCUGCUCGUUCUUGCUGUCCUGUUUCAAAGGCCGCCAUACCCAAACCCACUUUGAUUGAUCCUGGUUUCUUCCCCCGGUGGCCAGCGCUUGUAGCUUAUGCCCAUGGAGACCUCUUUUCUUCUCCUUUCCGUUGAUGUAUUAGUUCGCGGAGUACUAUACAUGAGGUACUACGUAACGUGUUGCAUGAAGCUGGAGCCAUAUUGAAGUUCAUGUAUUGAUUUCUUGAACUUAGAAAAGGAAAAGGAAUAAUGUGUGAAAACAAAUAGGCGUUUUCCAUUAAGCAAAAGAGAAUUUGUUUGAAGAAAAAAAUUGUCAUUUUUUUGUUUGCAUAAAAGAAAAUAAACAUUAACAAAGAGAUUUGGAGAUCUUUACUUGGAAAAGAAAGCUAUAGAAUAUACCUAGUAUGGAAGCUCCCUUAGUCUAGUGGUUUAACUAAAUGUUCAUCAAUGCUUCUACAUUAGGAGGUCUGGGGUUCAAAAACCCGAGUAACGCAAAUUAUAGAGAAAUAUGGUUACAAGAGGUCUUCAGCAUGGUGCAUGGCGUAUCAUCGAACAUGGAUCUCAUAGAGCAGCUCGGAGUAAUGCAGUCAGACGUGCAGUCUCAUAUAUGAUAGAAUUAUCGACUGUAAAAUCAUCUAUGUAUUAUUUCUCAUCAUUGUAAUGACAUAAUUAAUCAUACGUUAAAAAUAAAAAGAAUCUACCUAGUAUAACUAGGUUGGAGAGUUUUCCAAGAGAUUAACACAGAGAAAAGUAUUCUUAGCAAAAAGGGUUUCAUUACUUGUAUGGUGAGUGAAAUAUAAAAGGCUAAGAAGAAAGAGUUUCUUAGGAUCAUGUGUUAGAUCAUAGAAAUGUGUGAGUCUAGUGUUUCCUGAUUAAUUAAGACUUGUAAGUUUACUUGGAAGAGAUCUAGUAAUGACGUAUGUCUUUGUUGAGAAAUUCUCUUCUGUUUUUGUGUUCAUUUACUGUAGUAUUUCUUGAGACAGUACUCGUACUACUCUAUGACGUAGUUUCUAUAUUCUAGCCAUGAUAUUGCAAAGGUUAUUUUUCCUAAUUAUAAUUUUAUGUAACUAUUCUAUUACUCAUAAUUCCCUUUAUUUAAAAUACACUUAUACUAAGUUUUUUAAUUAUAAGAAAUGGUUAGUGCCCUAUACUAAAAAACUAUCUUGGAUCCCCCCUUGGUUGUCAGGGCCAGCUCAAAGACAUGGACCAGCAGUGCACCCGUUCAGAGCCCACGUACAAAAAGGCCAGUACCAACGUACAAUAGGACCCAUAUAUUCAACCUGUUGAAUACUUAGAAGGCCUAUUCUAAAAUGUUCCAACCGUGUUCUUCUUUAAAUUUUUACUAGACUUUGAUCCGCGCUUUCAAUUAAUUAUUAUUAUUUUUCUUCAAAGCGCGGAUUUAUUAUUAUUUUUUUUCAAUUAAUUAUUUAGUAAAUAUCAUAUUUUCAUAUAUUUGUAUUUUAUUUUAUAAAAGACUUAAACUUUUUAUCUUUAUUUAUCGUAUUUCAUUUUAAAUGACUAUUUAUGUUUAAAAAAUUAAAAUUUAUUUCUUUAAUGAAUUAAGUUUGUAUAACUCUGAUAAAUUAAUUUUAUUAUGUAGUUAAUAUUUUAAUAAAAAAAUAUAUACUUUUAAUAAAGAUUUAUACUUUUCAAUGAAAAAAAUCAAUUUUUUUUUAUGAAUGCUUAAAUUAUAUUAAGAAAAGAAAAAAAAUAAUAAUUAAGAAUAGUUGAAAAAAAAUUAUUUGAACUUGAACUCAACAGCCCAAAGGAAAAAAAAUGUGAGAACUGAAUCUGAUUUCUUAAUCGGCCCAAAUGGCCCAAAAGAGAUCUGAUGUGGGCUGGAUCCAAAAAAAAUGAUCCAAUAUAGAUGUGUUAUUAAUAUUAUUUGAUUGUCAUUAAUGAAACAUGCAAUGUUAAUAAAUAAAAUGGCAGGCUAAAGUAAAAAGGACAAUAGGAUCCUGCUUUAAUAGUAUAGACUUUAUUUUUGUUUUUUUUUCAAUUGACAAAUAUUUAGUAAAUGUCACAUUUUCAUAUAUUUAUGUUUUAUUUUAUAAAAGACUUAAAAAUUUUAUCUUUAUUUAUCGUAUUUCAUUUUAAAUGACUAUUUAUGUUAAAAAAAUUAAACUUUAUUUUUUUAAUGAAUUAAGUUGGUAUAACUCUGAUAAAUUAAUUUUAUUAUGGAGUUAAUAUUUUAAUUAAAAAAUUAUAUACUUUAAAUAAAGAUUUAUACUUUUCAAUAAAAAAAUUCAAUUAUUUUUAUGAAUGCUUAAAUUAUAUUAAGAAAAGAAAAAAAUAAUAAUUAAGAAUAGUUGAAAAAAAAUUAUUUGAACUUGGACUCAAUGGCCCAAAGGAAAAAAAAAGUGAGAAUUGAAUCUGAUUUUUUAAUAGGCCCAAAUGGCCCAAGAGAGAUUUGAUUUGGGCUGGAUCGAAAAAUAAUGACCCAAUAUAGAUUUGUCAUUAAUAUUACUUAAUUGCCCUUAAUGAAACAUGCAAUGUUAGUGAAAGAAACAUGCCCCUAAGGUAAUUAUGACAAUAGGAUCCUGCUUUAAUAGUAUAGAUAUAAUUGUUUGGCAGCACUGUAAAAAAAAAAGCAUCAAAUUUAUGUUAAAAAUAUUGGGCGGAGCGGACCAUUGCGGUAGUAUAUCAUUUUUAUAGUUUUCUUGUUGAUUUGGGUUUUAUACAUGUAUAAAAUAAAUAAUGAAAACUGAGUGGUUUAAUUUGGACCAACUUAUUUUAAAUCAAGAUUUAUUUGUAUGCUUAUUUAUCUUUAGAAAUUUAUCCAUUACCAUUGCCUGCAUUAUUGUGGAACUGUUUAGUUUAUGAUUUAUUGUAUACGUCAAUCCCUUCGUGGUAAUCGGUAUUCUAGAACGGCUCUUUAGAAGUGUUAAAAAGAGAUUGAAGCUUUUGUUCAGGGUUUAGGGAACACGAUUUAAUAAACCGCUGGGUACACUAACCGGGAACUCAUCCGGUUUAUUUAGUCAUGUCUGAUUCUCACAUUACACUGAUUUGAUUAUGGUUUAGGUUCAAAGUUAAAUUUGUUAUGCGUUUAAUUUUUUUUUUAGGUUUUGAAUUAUACACACAACUUUAUUUUUUGUACACUUUAUUUUUUGUACAUAAACCAAAUAGCAACGCUAAAUAAUCUUUAUGUAAGGUUUAUAAAAAAAAAACAUAUAUGCUAUAGUUGAUUUUUUUUUAUUUUGAUGAUUAACAUAAAUCAACUAAUUACAGUUGUGUACAAAAGUUAAAUAUCAAUCUAUAAUAUUUUUAUAGAAACCAUUUAAAUGAAUAUAUGCACUAUAUAUGUAUUAAAUUAUAUAAUAUUUUCGUAAACACUUAUAUAUAUUUAGUUGACAUAUUCAUAAAUUUAAUAUAAUUUCUGUAAAAAGUAUUUAGACACAUUAUUUUGUGUGCUAUAUACUUUCAUAUUUAAUAAUUCAUAUUUUAACUGCAUAUGAUUAUAAAUGGUAAUGGUUAUUCAUAAUUCCUUAAUAUCAAUAAAAUAUCAAACAUAUUUUUUUUGUUCUUACAUAUACAUGUAUGCAUUUAUAUAUUUUAAAAAUUUAAAUGAAAAUUUUGCUGAUACAAUAACAAAUAUAAAAAUUGACAAUAUUAGUUUUAUAUUUGAACUAAAUGGUAAGAAAGAACCGAAAAUCGAAUGAAGAUACAAAAAAUAAGCGCAAAACAGGAAUACUCUUAUAAUUUUUGUAGCUGUCACAAAUUUUCAUAAAAUUUAAAUUACAUUAUAUUUAUUAAAGUGAUGAUAUUCAUUUUUAUUUUUGUAAACAUGAUAUUUAUUACUUAUUUAUAAUAAGUUUUAUUUUUUAGAUAUUUAGUUUUCAUUAAAAAAAUUCAACAUUUAUUUAAAUAUAAUAAUUUAUUAAAUUAGUUUGAUCUGCAUUUGUUGUGUUUGAUCUUCAUUUUUGUUUGAUCUGCGUCACCCAUUAUAUGGAAAAUCCAUUUGGCGUCAACUUUUCAAAUGUCUUCUACUUUGGAUUGUUCAUGUAUAAAUUAUGAAUCUUGUGUUUUGAACUUUUGAAGAUAUUAUAUUGUAUAUAGAAAGGAAUCUAGUUCUAGUUAUACAAUAUAAUUUUAAAAGACGUUGAUUCCUAAAUAAAGGAAGAAAUAUAUACUUGAUGUUCAAGUAGCCUUUUAAGAGAAAUCACAAAAAUUAUACUAUAAGUGUUUCUCAUGAAUUUUAUUUUAAUUUUACCAAGAAAUAUAUACUUGAUAUCUCAUGACAAUACUUAUACCUGUAAUUUCAUUUUUGUUAAUAGUAUUUUAGGUAUAGAGAUUUUGUAGUCUUUCCACAUCUUUUUAAAUCUGCAUGAAUCAAUCAUUAUUUAUUAGCCAUGUAAUAUAAUUUCUUCUAGCAUGCAAAUGCUACAAAAAUAAAUAGAGAUUUUGGAAGACCAGCAUAAGAGACAGAAAAUUUGUAGUAAAAAUUAUAUGCGUACGCUGUUAACAUAAAUAACUAAGAAAUUCAUUAUUUUUUUGGUAAUAAGAUAUUAAAUUAAGAAGCAAGUGCAGAUGAAUGAUAAGUAGAAGUAUAGGACACAUGGAUCUGUCAAUUAAUCCAUUCCAAUAGACUCAACAUCACAGAAACCUAAAAGUCAUACAAAACCCCAAUUGAAUAUGCUGCAACGUGCAAAGUUUACAGAAGUCGGAAUGUUAAAUAGUUGAGAAAGAGCACUAAAGAUUAUUCAAAUAAAAUUGAACAUAAAACCAACCCAAUGUCUGGAAAGUAGAUGACUAAUAUAAAUUGGUCAGACCAAAGUACCUCAGACAGCCGCACCUGCUUCUGAAAAUUUCCACUCACCAUACAAAGCACCUUCUCGUUCUUUUACACUGCACAAAUAGUAAAGAAGGUUUUAAGAAUGAUCAAUUUUCUGGUCUGGUGUCUCUUGUUCAUUAGCACAUUUACAAUUAAACAUUUGUGUACAGGAUGAAAAACGUAUAAUCUUGAGAGAAAACAUUGCAUGUGAGCAAAUGAGGCCUGAUAGAUAAAAACCAUAGUAGAAUUAGAGAACAGAGUGAGAUCUAAAGAGAUUAAUAGAGAGUAAAAUAAGAUAAAGAAUCAUAUGAAUUAACAAUUUUUUUCGGAGAAGAAGUCUUGCAUGUCCACAUCGAGUUUGUGGAUUACUGGAUUAGAGAAGGAAAAAAAUGUGUUUUUUAAGAAAUCUGCAGUAAUAGAAUAUCAUUGCACAAGUAUAAAUGAUAUAGUGGAAGUAGUUAUUCGGAAAUUGCUAGUUCAUGGAGGUGUGAAAAGAAGAACCGUCCUCGAGGUGGAUUGAGAGAAUAUUUUUGAUUUUCUAGUAAAAACUUAAAAUUAAAACGUAAGUGGGAACAUUUAGUCUUUUGUAUGUUUAUUCUUUCCUUUUUAAAAAUUUUUAUUUUUAAAUUAUGUGGUAAAAUUCUAGAAUAUGAUUGGUUGAGUGACUUUUGCUUUCAUAUUUUUCUAACGCUUUGUUUUGUUAAAACUGAUUUAGAACACAUUACAUCAUUGGAGAGUAAGAUUUAACGAUAACGAGAAACUAAUGGUCUUUCUACACUAGAAACUAAUGAAGACAAACAACAUUGAUGACAUUUUAGUAAUACAAACUGAUCUUGUUUCAAAAAAAGAUAUAUUAGGUGUUUCCGUUCCAAUAAUAGCAGACGAACUUCUAUUACCUUCAACUGAAACAUGACAAUAUCUCAUCAUCUAAAUAAAUCUUCUUCUUCGGUUGUCUUUCUCAAUUCUGUCUCAAGUUAGCUUUAGUUAAGAUACUGUUGAACAAAACUGAAAUACAAAAUAUAAAUCAGAUAGAUAGUUGGGAUUGAUGGUUCAUAUCCAAUAUAACCACCCAAAAUCCCAUAAGAAUAUGGAAGUAAACCAAUCCUAAAGCAAAACUUGAUCCACCUCCUUGCAUAGAAAAAAAUUGAAAGACAAAACCACUUCAGCACCAAUAACUCACUCAAUCGAAGACCAAACACACUCAAAGAAAAAAAGAAGCUGCAUGAUAACUCAUCAGAAAGACGAACCCAAAACGGAUCUUUAAGCCAGUGCAAAUGAACUUGUUAUCAGCAAAUCACUUAUAGAGAGUUAAUAUUAGACAAAUCGAGAGCAAAAAAACUAAUCUCCUUUCGUCAUUAUACAAUCGAUGUUGCCUAUUUGUAUACAUAUAAAGUCUUAAAAAUUAUUAAAAUGAGAUGUAAUACGUUAACUCUUUAACAACGAUGAUAUAUUUAAUAGACCAAUAUUUUUAUUAAUCAUUUUAUAAUCGAUAAAGAUUGUAGUAUUACAAAAUGUUAAAAUCAUUUCAUAAACAAACAUUAUUAUAAUAACUCAGCCCGCGCACGCGCGAAGAUUAUCAUCUAGUAUACAGAGGAUUUAGUAAUGACAAUAAAUGAAAAUUUUCAUUAAUAAGGAAAAUGCCCUUUUCCGUCAUUUACCAAAUACUAGUACUUACUUUUAUUUUAUGCUUAAACGCCGCAGUUAAAAAAGAAUGGACACAUGCAUGCUAUGUUUUAUUUAGGGGCACAACCUAUGUAUAUUUUUUUUUCUUCCAAUUUUAGGGGCACAACCUAUAUAUUUAGAUAAUGGAAAAAAGUUGAGUUUUUUAUUUGAAAAAGAGGAAAUGCUUGCUAACUUGAGAUGAUGGACCAGAUUCUAAAGGCUUAUUGUGAUUGCUGUCUAUGUAUAAUUUAUUAAUAAUACCAAUUGUUCCACAUAUAAACUUUCAGUAAAUAAAUUUGAUAACUAAAAUUUCAGUAAUCUUACUUUUAUAUAUACAAGUAACAAAAAAAAAACAACAUUUAAAUCUCUCUAUAAUAUUAUUUGAGAAGUCAGUUUCUUAUGUGUCGCGCUCACGUUAACUCUCACGAUGGUUUAUUACACUUACACCCUUAAUGAAUAAAAAAUAUUAUUAGUGAAUUCUAUUUUUUAUUAUUAGUGAUUUCCAUUAAUAACAAUUAUUUAUGUUUCUUUUUUCUUAAUAUAACUGUGAUUAACUUUUUACUGUAAUUUUCCUUUUUAUUAAAACAUAAAUAAUAAAAAGAAAAAAUAUAAAACAUAAACAUAGACAUUUAUAUAAAACGAAUUUAGUUUUUUUUAUUCUUUAUGUUUCCUACAACAAAAAUAAAAAAAAAUCAAUAACUGUUAAAAAUUUAUACUUAUAAAUAUAUAUAAAAAAACUUCACAAAACUGAAAAAUAUAUUAAAUUCAGAUAUAUUUUUCUAAAAGAGAAUAAUAUUUUUAUUAUAAAUAUCUUUUGAUUUAAUAAUUAAUAAGAAAAUAAUUUGGAACAACAUAAAUGGUUAUUUAGUAGAAGUCAGUUUCUUAUGUGUCGCGCUCGAGUUAACUCUCAUGGUGGUUUAUUACACUUACACCAUUAAUGAAUUAAAAAUAUUAUUAGUGAUUUCCAUUUUUUUAUUAUUAGUGAUUUCCAUUAAUAACAAUUAUCUAUGUUUCAUUUUUCUUAAUAAAACUGUGAUUAACUUUUAAUGCAAUUUUCUUUUUUAUUAAAACACAUAAAUAAUAAAAAUAAAAAUUUAUAAAAUAUAUAUAAAAACGAAUUUAGUUUUUUAUUCUUUAUGUUUCCUACCACAAAAAUAAAAAAUUCAAUAACUUUUAAAUCUUUAUACAUAUAAAUAUAUAUAAAAAUAACUUCACAAAAACUUAAAAAUAUAAUAAUUCAGAUAUAUUUUUAUAAAAUAUAAUAAUAUUUUUAUAAAGUAUCUUUUGAUCUAAUAAUUAAUAAAAAAAUAAUUUGGAACAACAAAAAUUAUUAUUUAAUAUCUUAUUUUUUCCAAAAAUUAUUAUAUAUUAUGAAUAUUUUAAAACCAAAUAAAUAUUUUAUAAUGUGAGGCUACAACAAUAUAAAUAGUAUUUCUUAUUUAUCAAUAUAUUUUUGAUUGAAUGAUUAGAAUUUUCAUAACAAAAUUUAUUAACAUUUCAAAUUUUUAGUUUUAUCGAAAACAACAUAUAGCAAAUUAUACACAAUCUUACAAAAUAUAUUUUUCAUCCUAAGAUAAAAGUAACAAGAUGAGCUUAUUUUAGUUUAACUGUAACCAAAAAAAAUCGAUACAAUUCAAUAUACUAAAUUAUGAAAAACCAAAUCAAACAGUUAUUAAGAUUUAGCUUGUAGUAGUGUUCUGUUGUAUGAAUUUUCAAAAUAUUACAAUUUAUUUUUAUUAAUGCAAUUCUGAUUUAAUAUUUAUUUUUCCUAUUUUCUAAAACAAUAUAUACCCAUUUAUACAAAAAAACACUAAUAUAUUUACAAAUAUAAGAAAAUGAACUUAACUACAUGAAUUUAAGAAAAUAAUAGUCCAAUUUUAAUAUAAUUUGUUUAAUUUAAAUAAUAGAUACAAUUUAACACAAACAUAAAUAUUUGAAACUGUACAAAAUAUUAUAUGUGAAAUUAUAUAUCCAGUUAAGAUGAGAACAUAAUACUGCAUAACAAACUUACUUUUUCAAUAAUAUUAUAGAGAUUAAAAAUUAACUUAAAAGUUAUAAACAAAGAAUUUUCUUUUAUCUAUUGUUUAAAUUCAAUCAUUACGUAAAUGUUUGUACCUGUGCAUGAGCACGGGGAAAUUACCCAGUUAUCAGCCUUGUUCAAAAAAUCGUCCGCAGAGCCGAUUACUCGGCCGAGUAUACGUGAUACGUAAGUGGAACGUGGCGAAUUGGGCCAAAUCGGAUGCUUUCUACGCUGAGCCCUGUACGAACGCUUAAUACGUAGAAGUAGUUGUAUUAUUAGUGAAUUUGCUUGGCCCAACUCGUGAUUUCCUUCUUAAUAAUUUAUGUUAGCAACCCAAAGCUCAGCCAAUCGUAAGUUCUCAUAUCUUUUCACACAUAAAACAACAUUCCUCUUCUUUUCUACUUACAUUUCUCCUGUUUUUUUUUCUAAACUUCAAAUAGCGAAAAACAAACCCCCAAAUCUCUACAAUUUGGUCUUUUUAUAAAUUACUAGGUCCUUGUCCGCGCUACGCGCGGAUAGUAUUUUGAUUUUUUUUCAUAUUUUUGUACUAUUAUGUUAAUUGUUUAGUUUUAUAAAAUGUUAUGUUUUUACUGUAAAUUUGGAAUUAAAAAUCUAAUUUUUCCUUACUGUAAAGUAAGUUAAUUUUUUUGAAUCUUACUACAACACAUUAUACACGAAGAAAAUAUAGUUGGUCUUUAUAUUCUUAUUUGGUGUAAUAUUAAAAAAUUUGAUGUUUGUUUAAAUGAUUUUUUAAAAUUAUAUAUUUUAGGAUUGAUUUUCGUGACUAUAUUUUAUAAUUGGCUAAAAAAAAUUGUUUGUCCCAUAUAGACAUCUACAUAAAUGUGGAUUUCUGAUAAAUUUGUUCAUUGAGAUAUUUAGUUUCACUUUUAACUUUAUUCUCUUUUUUGGCACCCUCAUGCUAGCUUGUGGGGCUAGCCAACUUGGUGCAAAAGGGUUUACAAAAGCUGAUCGAGAUGCGCGUGAUCGGACACCUUUUGUUAGGCUAUUCGUACGAAAUUUUAAAGAUCUAGGAAUAUAAGCAAUAGAAAGUUCAGAAAAUUCUUUGGAUACAGCCUGUAUUUCGUCGAGCUCCGAGUCCAAUGCAGGUUAAUUUUCCUCCUUUUGAAUGAGUAUAACCAGUUGUUCACAGUCGAUUGAAAGACCAUCUCUCUGUGUCCAAACUUCAGUAUCACUUGCAUUACCCAUAGCAAACCUUCAGCUUCCGCCUGCAGUGGUGAUUUGGUGCGUGUAUAUCUGCCUUUGCUCCAAACAUCAUUAGAAAGUCACCAUCCAUUAACACAAAGCCAAGUCCAGAUAUGUCUCUUUCAUUUAUCCAGGAUGUCUAGCAGGAGCGUUUUUUUCCGGAGGAACAGUUGUGUCUGUUACCUCAACUCCCAUAUCAAUCUCCAUAAACUCGUCUAUACGUUGAGCUAUCCUCCAACACUCUGCUUCAAUUUUAUUCGCUAAUGGGAAAGACAUAAUUCCUAUGACACUAUUAAUGAUUGUUUUUUUUUGUAACACCGGUACGGCAAACUUAUGUUUUAUUUAACAAAACUUUUAUUUUAAUUUCGUAUUAAAGAAUCAAUCAUAUUUUAUAUUAUCCAUAAUUUUAGUAAAUUUGCUUAUUUGUCAUGUUUUUUUUAGGUUUUAGCUAAAUCAUUGAUUUAUUAUUUAUUUUUAGCUAACUCACUAAUUUAUUAAUUUAAAAAAUAUCCUUAAUUAAUAUUAUAUAUAUUAAAAAUGAAUUUUAUUUUAGUAAUAUUAAAUUUCUAUUUUAUAUUAAAAUUUAGUUAGUUUUUCUUAUUUGUCAUAUUUUAUUAGGUUUUAGACUUUUUGAUAGGUUAUUGAUUUAUUAUUAAUUUCUAACUGAUUCGUUAAUGUGUUAAUUAAAACAAUACCCUUAAUGAAUUAUAUAUAUAAUUUAAUAAAUUUUAUUUUAAUCAUAUGAAGUUUAUAUGUUAUAUUAAUAUUAAAUAUUUGAUUCUAAAAUAAUAUAAUAAAAUUAUAGAAAAAUUUAAAAAAUAAGACAAUUUUAUAUAUUUUUUGUUGCUAUCUGAAAACAAUAUUUUUAUUAUAAAAGUUAAAAAAAUACAAAAAAUUAUAAUUAAAUAUUAUUCAAGAAACAAAAUUUAUAUAAAUAUAUUUUCUAAACUAUUUCUAAGAUUUGAGUGUUUUAAAAAAUUUAACACGGGAUGUUUAAAACACGGGAUUAUGCUUGUGAGAGAGUGGCUGGGAAUGGGCUUCGAGAUGGGUCGAAUGGACUUUAAAAAUAACUUUUUUUUUAACUCAAACCCAAUCCGGAUGACAUGGCAUCUUGAUUGGUUCAUAAUAUUUUACCUAUGUGGCAUGGCUUAGAAAUGAGGGAUUUAGUCCCUUUUAUAUAGUAGGAUGAAUCUAAUAUUGAUGAUGUAAUAUACAUAAAUAUGUAUUAUACGUGUGUAUGUAGAGUAUUAUACAUUAAAAAUACAAAAAUUCCUUCCCGAGUACUCCCCGAUUUUUCUCCGCGUUUUCAAUAAAUCGCUAGGCCCGUAUGCGCCGCACGCGUAGCGCCUAGCGAGUUUCCGAACAAGGGUUAUCAGUAAUCUGUAAGCGAGCAUUUAUUUUGAUUCUUUAUUUAUAAAAAAAACAGUACCUCUUAUAUAUUAAUUGAGUAACAUUGCAACAUUGUUUUGUAAUCAUGUGUCACCGUGAAAAUAAAAUUCAAAAUUCAUAGAAAAAUAGGUUGGCUCAUCUUAACUUAUAUUAUAUUUUUUAUUAAACUAACUAUUAAAUUGAUAAAUAGUAUACAAUAGAAUAUUCUCGCAUUUUCAUUAAACAAAAGCUACGGAAUUGUCUAAUAUGAUUAACAUAUAUAUAUGACAAUUAACGAUUAUGAAUAAUAAUUAUUUGAUAACAAUUUUUGUAUCUUAGCUCUUUUUGUUUAUUUUAUAUUAUCGAAAAGUCGCACAUUAGAAAUUUUGUGUUUAUCAUAUGAAUAUGAAUUCUCAAUAAUAAAUAUCUAUAUUAAAAUAUGCUAUAUAUAUGUCUAUGUCAUUGAAAUUUAGUUAUAUAUUGUACCAUAUAAAAUAAAUAAAAUAUUUUUUUUGAUUAGUUUACCAAAAAAAUAUCGUAAAUAAACAAGAUGUAUUGUUUUAAUUUAUAUGAUUAUUCUAAUUUAAUUAUAUACAUAAUACGUAAAUGAAUACAAAUAAAUAUAAUUUAUAAAAAAAAUUAUAUAUAACAUUCAUCCCGCAAAAUUGUGCGGAUCUUAACACAAGUAAUAAAAUAUAAAGAAACAUCAUUUAAUUGAUCAGUAAUCUGUAAACCAGCAUUUAUUUUGAUUCUUUAUAAAACAAUUGAAAUAUUUAUAAAGAAUUGUAAUAAUGCAUUGAACGAUUAAUCCGUCACCACUAUACAUCUUACGAAUCCAUUAAUUUUAUUGGAUUUCUCUGUAAUGAUAGUCGUCACCUUUCGAAAUCGAUCCUGACCGUCCAAGAUCAAAAUCAGUAUUAUCAAGUUUGAUGAGCCUUCCUUUUAAGAAGAUGAACAAGAACGUUGUCAAAAAAAAAAAAAAGAAGAUGAACAAGAAAGAUGUUUGAUCUCUUUAUACAUACCGAAAGAAACAAUUAUUCGGUUGUUCGUUUUUGUACCCAGCCACUAGCCAUCAAGGAACAUUAGGAAUGAUUGGAAAAAAAAUGAAUAGGAAUAAAAUUUUGGGAACGACGAGGAACAAAGGUUCCUUGUCAAAAUUAACAAGGAACAAAUCAAUACUAUUAAAAGGGAAUGAGUUUUAAUAAAUCUACUUAAAAAAGUUGUUUGGACGAUUUCAUUAAUUAAUAAUAUUUUGGUCUUACUUUAAAUUUCAACUAACAAUUAGUUACCUUAUAUUUAUCUAACAAUCAUUCAGUCAAUAUUUUUAUGUAUUAGACCCUUAUCUUUUUGUUCACUAUUUGAUUAUACCACAUAUAUACUUUAUUUAUUAGACCGCAUCAUUUGGUACACGAAAAUAUUAUACCACAUGAUACACUUCAUUUUAUUAAAACACACUUCUUAUCAAUACAUCACUUAUUAAUCCCAACCACGGGUUGUAGCAAUAUUAAAGGUUUAACGUUCAAAUAUGGGUAAUUCAUUACAACAUUAAAUGAAACUAACAUGUAUUGUAAGUCAAUUUCUAUAAUUUUAUUAAAAGAGAAACUGGUUUUUGCUCAUUAACAAUAAUAUAGGCAUUGGAAACAAUAGAAAAUAUAUUGGAAACGUUUCACUCAAAUAAAUACUGAAAUUUUGGUUGUUAAAAUCAAUGCUGAUAUUGCCUAGAUUGUAACAAUCAGUUUGAAAAACAAAAGAGAAUAUAUUAUCGAUAUGCUAAUUAUAUUCAUUUACUUGAUUAACACUUUUAUUGAUUUCGAAUUCAUUUUAAAGAAAGUCGAUUGUUUGAAUAUAUUUUCAGAAUAUAUUGUAUUUUAUUGGGAAUAUAUUAUAUAUAAAUUUUGUAAAUAAAUUACUGAAACGAUUCUUUUUUUAUUUAGAAUUUUAAUCCACAUAGUAUUGGUUUCAAAGAUAUAGAAUCUGCUUGGCUAUUUAUGAAAUUUAUUUUAAUGUUGGUUUCGUUUUUUCAGUUUGGUAUGAUUUAUUCUCCAAUAAAUGUUAUCAGAUCAAUGCUUUAUCUUAUUUAGAAAUUCAUUAAAAUUUUAUUUAAUUUCAAAAACAAACCCGCGCUUUUAAGCGUGGGUCAAAAUCUAGUUUGUAUUAUAAUUCUCUACAAAAAAGAGAAUAAGAAGGAAUGAAGUGGAAAAAAUAUUCCUUACGGAUAGUAUCAUUUUUGAGGAACAUUAAGGAAUGCAGUGUUCCUCUUCGUUCCCUUGGUUACCAUUCAAACCCUUAGAUGUUCAUUUGAAUCAACAUUUACAUUCUGUAUCUAAAUGCAAAAAUCUAAAAUAUUUAAAGUAUCUAGAUAUUUAAGAUGUAAAAUGUGGAUAUAAUAUUUGCAUAUAAAAAUCAAAAGACCUAAUUACCUUUCAGUAUAAAUAUAAAAUCAAUUUUUUCUGCCAAAACCGUAAAAUGAGUUUUUUCGUCAAAAUUGAAAUCAUGUUUUUCGUCAAAAAGGUAAAAUUAAGUUUUCCGCCAAAAUUGUAAAAUUGAUUUUUCACACCAAACGGAAAAUUUAGUUUUUUUUGCCAACCCACAAAAUCACAUCUUUUCUCGCCAAAAUCACAAAAUUUCGCUUACCCGCUAAAACUGCAAAAUUAAAAAUUUUGCGUCAAAAUCACAUUUUUUAGCAAUACUGCAAAAUUGAAGUUUUUGCCAAAAUCGUAAAAUUAAAUUUGCCCACUAAAACUUCAAAAUCAUUUUUUUCCCUCCAAAAACCAGAAAAUUGAGUUUUUCUACCAAAAAUGCAAAAUUGGAUUUUCCCGUCAAAACUGCAAAAUAGUUUUUUCACCACAACCGCAAAAGUACGUUUUCUGUCAUAUUAGAAUCGAGUUUUUCCAUAAAACUGUAAAAUUAAGUUUCCUCACCAAAACCUUCGAAUCACGUUUUCAGCAAAUCACAAUAUUGUGUUCUUCCGUCAAAACCGUAAAAACAUUUUUUGCAAAACCACAAAAUUGAUUUUUCCGCCGAAACCUAAAAAAAAAUGCCAUCAAAAAUUCAAAUUAGGUUUUUGUUAAAAUAUGAAAAAAUCAAAUCAUGUCUAUUUAUUAUUUUAAAAUUAAUUUAUUAUUAAUAAUACUAUGUAAGGAACCCGUGCGAUAUCGCAUGGAAACUAAUUUUACAAAAAUAAGUUCACCAUAUUUUAUAAAAUAAUGUUUUUUAGAAAAACAUUAUACAAUUGUAUUCGAAAAAAUACAUGUGUUACAAAUUUAUCUGGCAUGCAACUAUAUUUUUUUAUUGAUAAUACGAUAAUUUUUUUAUAUAUGUUUGGUUAUAAUAAAAUUAUAAAUAUGUCAGUAUCAAAUAAGAUAUAUGUCUAAUUAUCCGCUUAACUAAGUUAUUUAAAAAUUUCAAAAAUUUAAAACUACUUAAAAAGCAAAGACAUUCCAUGUGGUCAUUUACUAAAUUAAUAAGGUAAAUUAUAACAACAAGACAAAUAUGAUUGGUUUGAAACCAUGUAAGACAUGUGUUAUCGGAAACAUGAUUAUAUUAGGCCUGGGCAUUCGGGGUCCCAAUCGGGUUUCGGUUUUAUCCAAUCGGGUUUCGGUUUUUCGGGUUCAUCAGAAUCAGGCCCAUUCGGAUUAUAUGAAAGUUCGGUUCGGGACCGGUUCGGGUUCUAUCGGGUUCGGAUCGGGGUUAGUGAAUCUUCAAAGAACCGGUACAACCCAAUAUACUUUCGGGUUCGGGUCCCAAUCGGUUUUUCGGUUUAAAAGUACCUGAUUUUUACCUAUUUUAUAACCAAAACAUGAGUAAAAUCGGUUCUUCAGUUUUAAAAUAUCUGAUUUGUACCUAUUUUGUAACCAAAACUUAAGUAAAAUCGAUUCAAAAAUAAGGAACAUCAACC
Molecule: long non-coding RNA, 73808 nt
Filed under: Brassica rapa (field mustard)
Lineage: Eukaryota; Viridiplantae; Streptophyta; Magnoliopsida; Brassicales; Brassicaceae
Description: long non-coding RNA (BRAP_LNC005991)
Rfam family: U1 spliceosomal RNA (bases 11181-11344)
Source: RNAcentral